GGGAUGGUAAUCUUUCCCAAUUGCUGCAGGGUGUGAGAAAUAAGAUCAACCGAGUUGCUUCUGUAAGAUCUCCAUUUCAUUUAGUACUCUUGUGUGAUUAUGCAUCCUCUUUUAUUUUCCAACAAAAUCUAGUUUUCUUUUUUUUCUUUCUUUUUUUUUUUUCAAGUCAACCUGUAAAGUCUAGUUUUUUUUUUUUAUUUUAAAUCCAGCUAUUUGUUUUUUUUCUUUUUCACUUCUUGAAUUCUUAGUUGUAUGCCUUCUUGUCUACAGAACUGGUCUAGGGAAGAGAAGGACCACUGUUUGGAGGAGACAGAGAAGUCAUUUAUAUAUUCAGGAGAAAUACUCCGUCUAAUACUGUCCUAGUUAAAGUGAGAAGAAACUUGUUUGUUGUAUCAGAUGUAUAUACAUAUACUUUUAAUCCGUUGUUUGCGUCGUCAAGACUUAUCUAGACGAUUUCAUGUCUUCCCAUGGAAUUUGCUCAGUAAUUGUAUAACUUAUUUCCUUUUACCCUUGGUUUCUUGGGUAACUGAAUUUGUGUCAUGUUGGAAGGCAAACUUGAUGCAGCUGUUUAUUGCCGUAACCAAGCGGAAAAGAACAGAAGGUUGUAUCACCCUUGUUUUGAGCCUGCAUUUAGUGAGAUUUGAAUUCGCUCUGUAGAUGUAUUCUGCGUGGGUAGGCAGUAAACUGUUAGUCUUCUUCCCCUCUGCUUUUUUCUUAUUUUUAAUCGCUGAUAUCAUGCUACCUAUCAACUUGUUGAGAAGAGCUAAUUUUGUUUAUUGAGAUUGUACGUGCUCUGUAGAUUAAGAAGUUCACACAUGCCCACACUGAUGUGCGGCACUAGUUACCCUGGACUACCCAAGUAAUGUUGCAUUCUUUAAUGGAGAUUUGAUAUUUGACUAUCCCAGUAAUGCUGCAUUCUUUAAUGGAGAUUUGAUAUUUGAUAAGCCAUUCGGCGAGGAGGAACUUUAUUUCUGUUAGAGAGCAUAUCAUUAAUUGAGAUUUGAUUCCUGUUAAAGAGCAUAUCAUUAAUGGAGAUUUGAUAUUUGACGAGCCAUUGGGCGAGGAGCAACUUUACUCUUGUUAGAGAGCAUAUCGUGCUGGUCACUGUAAUAAAGAACCAGAGUUGACUAGAGACCGAAUCAAAUAGAUUGACUAGCUUAAAAGAUUGCUGGGGUGCAGAUGACUGUCUCUAAAUGAGGGUUAAGUUGGAAAAUGAAUAGUCAACGCCAUAUCUUACCUGUAAUAGUCUUUCACUUUCUAAAUUUGGAAUUAAUAUUUUCUAUAAAUAAGGGUGUAAGCUAUACAAUCACUUUUUUAACUUUUUUAAGCGGCAGUCAUUUUCGCUUUCCUGAGCAAGUUUCUUCUUACACCUUUCUUCUCUGGCACCCUUCUUAUACCUACCUUUCAUCUUGAGUUGAAGUAGCUAAUAUACAAUGGUAUGAUAUAUAAUUAUGGAAGACUAAGUUUUGUCCUACAAUGCACACUGUCUAUUCCUAUCGAAACUGGAUCACAAGUAGUUUUUGUCUUUGCAUGAUUAGUUUCUUGUAAUUGAAGAUUUUUUUUUUCCCGCUCAUUAAAUUAAAAGAAAAAAAAGAUGAUCUGUAUUAGAAUCGAUAGCAAAGGAUUGAUUGAGGAGGGUGAAUCAGUCAGUGCCUCCGUGUCAGUCGGUUUGCUGAGAUAUUUUAUCAAUUUUUUUUUUUUAUUUUAUUUUUGGCUGUAAACUGGUCAAAAUGUAUAUCUAAUAAUUAAUUAAGAUUCACCAGCUCAGAUGUAUGUCUAGCAAUAAUCAGGAUUUAUAGCAUACAGGUACUUUCUUUUCCGAGGCACGUACAGCAGUAGUAGUUGACAGAGAAUGAUCAAGAAAAGUCCCUAAAUCCCCCUACUAGUGUUGGCACUCUUUAGACAAAUGCCCAUAUUGGAGUUGUAACUAGUAGGGGAUGUAGUUCUAUAUAUCUUUAUUUAUUUAAAUCUGUUUUGGUUUUUGAUGUGCUGAUCACUUUACACGAAUCAAGGUACCCGCAAAUAAUAUACUCUUGUUGGAAGAGUAGCGGGGAUUAAAAGAAUUCUUUCUUCUUCUUUUUUUUUUACAUUCGUAACUUGGCACUCCUCGUUCUUUUGUAACUCGUUAGAUUUGGAGCUUAUGUAUAUUUUAUUUUAUUAUAUAUACACAGGCCAUUUCGAACAUUGCUCUGGCGCUGCUGUGUGUUUGGUGGGCCGCAGCAGAAGCAGGCUCUCGAAUAUACGACGUCGUGGGCCACGGAGCCCAUGGGGACGCCAAAACGGACGACACCAAGGUUUUAUGAUUUUACAACAGAAGCAGGCCUUACUUUCAUUUGAGUGGGCCCCGUUCUCACACGCCCAUAUAACUUACGGAUGUAAAUCAAUGGGGAGCGUUUAACGGGCUCAAAAGUUAAACGUGCUUUUUUUCUCUUUUUUUUUUUGUUUUAUUUUUUAUGUUGGGCUAAAAAGAUAGAGUUGACGCUCCAAAAAUAGACUCGUGAGCAAGGGGGCGAAUUAGUCGUAUCGUAUUGAUUGGGGCCAUGCAUAGAGUUAACCCGUGGAUCGGGCCCGGCCUUUCUCAUUGAUUGAUAUAUAUAUAUAUUGCAAGCCUGUUUUCGGAGCUGUCUCAGCUUCUAACCCCAGGAGGGAAAAGAAGCGUUGCGUUUGCAGGUUAAUAAAAAAUUCAAUUAGAUUCUCGUUUGCACGUGCAUCAGAGUCGUCGAGAUUUUAAAUUUAAUUAAAAGUUCAAUUAAAUUCAAUUAUUAUUAUUAUUAUUAUUAUUAUUAUUAUUAUUUGUUUUUGUUUUCGUCGAUCUCUCCCUACGUAUUCUCUCUCUCUCUCUCGCUCGGCAGGCAUUUGAAGAAGCAUGGAAGGCGGCGUGCUCGGAUCCGGCGAAUCCAACCAUGGUUGUGCCCUCAGGGAAGACAUUCCUGCUGAGCUUCAUCUCCUUCCGAGGGCCCUGCAACUCUAAUAAGAUCCGUGUCCGGGUAUAUAUAUAUAUAUAUAUAUAUAUAUAUAUAUAUACAUAACAUAUAAUAUAUAUGUGCUGUCCCUUCCCCACCACUCCGAAUUAAUGUUUAAUUUUCUCUGCCGUACGUGUUGUACAUGUUAUUAUUUUUAUAUAUAGAGGAGCAAAUUAAGCAACCGGGCAUAACAAAUAGAUCGAAUGCUCUACGUACGAACGUACGUACUAUAAUAUAUUAUACGAUGAUUUCAUUUCAGAUUGAGGGAGACAUCGUGGCACCGAGCCAAGUGGGGCUGCAGCAUUCCAACGCGGACCAUUGGAUCACCUUCGCCGACGUCAACGGCUUAACUGUCGACGGAUCGGGCCAAAUCGACGGCCGAGGCUCUCUUUGGUGGGCCUGCAAAGCCACUCCUGAUGUAAUUUUAAACACUUCUUCGCUUCCUUUAUAAUAAAUAAUAAAUAAUAUAUUACCUUUUCUUGUGGAAUUUAUGUUCUGAGGAUUAAAAAAAAAAAAAAAGAUAAAACAAAAACUAAAAAAAAAACAUAAAUUAUACGAAAAGGUUAACUGUGGCCGUAUUGAUGAUGAUCGAUGGUGCAGGGUUGUUCCAGCAUCCCGAUGUACGUAUGUGAUCUCCGACCAGCAUUAAUUAGAUAAACUCGCAACUAUCCUUUCAUCUAUCCAUGUAUUAGUAUCUAUAUAAUAUAUUAUAUAUAUAUAUAUAUAUAUAUAUAUAUAUAUAUAUAUAUAUAUAUAUAUAUAUAUAUAUAUCUUUCUAUGACUCAGUACCCUAGCUAGCUUGUAGUAUAUAUAUAUAUAUAUUCUUUUGUGCAACUACAGUCGUUUGCCAUAAUGAGAUGUCAAAAUGUUGAGCUGAGCGGGCUGAGGUUUAAGGACAGCCCCAAGAAGCAUGUCACAGUCGACGACAGUGCUUGGGUUCGUGUGUUUGGCAUAACCGUCGAAGCACCGGAAGACAGUCCCAACACCGAUGGGGUGCACAUCGAGCGCAGUCGGCACGCGGAGAUAGUAGAUACUAGCAUAGGCACAGGGGACGACUGCAUAUCCAUUGGACCGGACACCGCCGAUCUUAAUAUAAGCCGUAUAACCUGUGGACCCGGACACGGCAUCAGGUGUGCAUGCUUUCAACUUAGUAGCUUAAUUUUUAUGGCCAAUUAUUAUUAUUAAACUUCUAUACUGGUUUGCAUUCCGUGUGAUGAGAGAUCCCUCCCUGGAGCAAUAUUACUAGGUAAGAGUACGGCAAAGGCAAGUAAUUUUAUAGCCUGGGGAAUUCGUAACAUUCGCUGCACGUUAUUGCAGCAUCGGGAGCUUGGGUAAGGACGAAUCCGAGGCACGGGUGGAGCAGAUACACGUCUCAUCGUGCAGUUUCUUUGGAACUUCUAAUGGUGUUCGGAUCAAGACAUGGCAGGUAAACUCAAGCGAUGACAGCAUGAAUAACGAGCUAACGAACGAACCUCUGCAGGAGAUGAUCGAGUAUUGUGACUUGGCUGUAUUCAGCGGUGACGAACUUUACUGUUAUCUGCCAGGGAGGUUCUGGUUUUGCAAGACGGCUAUUAUUUGAACAGCUCGAGUUUGACUCUGUCAAAAAUCCCAUAGUCAUAGACCAAUACUACUGUGAUGGCGGUCACAAAUGCCACAAUGAGGUACCAGUACAAUUAAUUCUCUGUACGUAUUAUAUAAGCAUAGAUACGAGUACUACAAUUCUUGCUAGUCUAUCGUUCAAUUUGGCUUCGAAAAUAAGGGUCCUAGAUUAGGAAUGUAUGGUUUGCUAUUAAAUUGUGAAGCAUGUGGCUGGGCUUCCCCAGACACCUUGAACAUGCUCUUAACUUAUUCACGGACGCCUGAUUAAUCCUGAUGCAGCCAUCGGCCGUCGAAGUUAGCGACGUGCGAUAUGCUGGAGUCAUAGGGUCAACGACAAAGAACAUCGCAAUCACCCUCAACUGUAGUCGAAACAUCGCUUGCACCGGCAUCAUCAUGGAGAAUAUCAGCAUUUCGCAUGUCGAACCAGGCGCUCCAACUUCCUCCUUCUGUGUCAACGCCCACGGAAGGAUGAAAGAGCCCGUCGUUCCUCGGGUCCCUUGCUUGAACUAACAUACAAUGAUACUACAGGCAACAGUUGUCCUGCGUGACACCAUGACUGUAGCAUCCCAUAGAGAAUAUAUAUAUAUAUAUAUAUAUAUAGAGAUAGAUAGUUAUCAUGAGAACGCGCAUAUUUUGAAAUUUCGGUUCCUAACAUGAUUUUGGAAUCGCCAUUAUAUAGGUUAUGCGAUUAUGUUUAUGGAAAGUAACCCGCACUAACAGUUUCUCGGCAGGACACAUGAAAAUACAACCAUAAGGUACAAUAUAAACUCGAGUGAGCAGUGCCAAUUGGCGUAAACGUCUAACAAGAACACGAAUUGUCACCUGUGCUAAUAGGAUCAUCAGUUUAAAUUAAUUUUAAGCUCACAAUCAUUGCUUAGAAUGCUAAUUUAUAACUCCAUAUUCUGUUAGAGAAAAUGGAGCACGAAAGAGUGGAGAUUUCAAAUUCAAAGCUUAGUUAUUUCACAUUUCUAGUUAAGUUUGGACGAAACGGAUAACAUGCCACCUCUCUCUCUCUCUCUCUCUCAAAAAAAAAAAAAAAAAAAAAAGAAGAAAAAAGAAUGGAUGGGUAUCAAACCAUUUUUUAAAAUUACUUAAACAUGCCAGGAAAAAGAAUAAUUAUGGCAACAAACACAAUGUACACCAAUGAUGUGGCUGCCGAGAAUGAACCUACUAAUUCUGAGAAUACCCACAAUACCAACAACCAUAUACGAACCCACCCCAGCUAAUAACCUUUUCUGUUCGUUCGUUCGUUAGUUGGUUGGUUUUUCUCCCUCAAAAUCCCGUCAAUAGGAGGCUGGAUGUCUCGUGGCAACAAAGGGUUCAUACAGCAAAAGACAAUCUAACUGAAAGGCUUUCUUUAGAUCUUUUACAAAGCCAUUUUUCUGAUAGACAUCUCUUUGAGGGUACUUAAAGAUCUAUGGAAUAACUUGAGAUUCUGCCCAAUCUUAUCCUGCAAUAGAAGCAGCAAGUCAACAAAUGAAGGAGAGUCAAAACAAUCUGAAUAUAUUUCAAUCAAUCAGGUACGAAGCUCUGUCGAGAUAAACACAAAGGAAUAAGAGACAUGAAACUAAAAAUACCAGAAACAAUCUUAAUUCAGUCAAACAACCAUAUUGGUCACAAAUGUUUGAAAGCUAUCAAAGCAUACUUGAAAUAUAAAAAUCCACAAGGAAGAUUUUACAGUACCUCUUUGAACUGCUCUAGUCUUUCCAGAAUAGGAUGCAAUUUCCCACAAAACAAAGAAAGAUCUUGUGGAUCAGUAUUGCUGCAAAGAUAAGACAUCGUGCAACCAUUUUAGACUAAAAUAGAAUAAACCGUCAAAAAAAAAAAGGAAAAGGAAAAAUAAAGACCAAGUUCAUUAAUGUGCGAUGAAGUGUUCAACAUCUAAUUUACAGAAGCUGCUUAGAAUUGUAGGGCGAGAAUCGUCGGUGCAGGUACUUCUAAGCCAGACUUUGAUUUCAAAGAACAGAAGAAACAAGUAGCAAACAAGUAAGGGUGAUUCGCUACUUAACCUAUUCUAGGUUAGCCAAAUUCUACUAGAAGCAAUCUGUAAACCUAAAUAUUCACUUUUCGCAUGCUUCCUUUUCAUGGAUAGAAACCAAAAACAAACAAACAGAUCAGAAUGAAAUAGUCAUACUCAUCCUGAAAAUGAAUAAGAAUGAUGUUGAUAGCACACUCAGCAAGCUGGAGCAGGAGAGUAAUGAGGCGAUCCCUAUUCCCAACCAUGUGGCACAUCUCUAUCAUCGCAAUGUAUCUCCUGUACCAAAGGUAACUGGUUGUAUAAUAAAUAGCUCUCUGCCAGUACAAGCAGUUAUUUCCUGCCUAAUGGUAAUGCAUGAUAAAUAAAUGAACUACCAAAUAGAGUUGCAAACAUAAAAGGCUGCUUGUAAAAAAUAGCAACCGCAUGCAGAACAUGGUGUAAGUAUGCAAAUAUACUAUUGUAAUAAUAGCAAUAAAAGACUAAAUGAACAUAACUACAAAUUUUAAUCAGCGAAGACUUGAGGAAUAGCAUACAAUUUUCCUUACCUCUUACGAAUAUCAUCAGAAGAAGAGAUGCAAUCUUGCCUCAUGCAUACUUUGAUUAUUUCAUCUACAUCCUGUCUUGGAAGUUCGUUAAUGUCUCGAAUCUAGAAAAUCAAAGAGACAGUAUAAGAAACCAUGACAUCCUGCAUAUGCUUCAUUAAGAAAGAAUUUAACCACGGAAAUACUCCUCUCCAUAUUCUGUAAAGUUUGAACUGUUUUCCUCACCAAAGUGUCCUUUCCCUAAUCCCUCACAACAUGAAAUUUUUAUCCAGCAUAAACAAACCAUAAAUCCGCUAAAAGUCCAAAGACAAGCAAACUGGAUUCUUUAUCAGCGUUACCUUGUUGAGCAACAAAAUUUUUUCUUCCCCUGCACUUUCAAGAGUAAUUGCUAUUGAGUUAAGAAGAGCCAAGAGCGAUUCUAAGGUAGGUGGCUGCCUAUUCAGAUCACCAUCAGAAUUUAAAACCUACCAAGCCAACAGAACAAAUGAUCAACGCGAUACAAAAGACGACAUAUUGAUGAAAACAUGAUAGCUAUGCCCCACAUAUAUAUCAUUAUAUUUUAGCAACUAUUUUGACAGGAAAAUAUUCAUAGCAAUUAAAAUCAAGAAUUCACGUAGCUGGCCACCAGCUAGUAACUAAUCACAGAAUGUAGCAACAUAAACCCUCAAAUAAAAAGUGGUAUAAGUAUAACAUCCACAUACAAAUGCCAAGAUAAGUUCCAUUAUAAAAUCACAAUUUAAAUUGGUAAAUGCUGUUAACAUAGUCCAAAUGAUUGCAGUGAAAGAAUAUAACUCUCAGACCUACUUUACAUCCCUCAGGGAGUACAAAAACAAAGGACUUUAUGGCACCAAAUAGAUUCUUACGUACUAUUUUUAGAAAGUAGAGCAGCAAAAAAUUCUGACUAAUCAUUUUGGGAUUUAGGACGAUUAUAGUUUGAAUAUCACAAAGGAAGUCGGUCUCCAAAUUACCACCUCCGUUUGAGUCUGGAAAAUAAUUAAUCAUCAGACAUUGCUUCGACACUAUGAAGUGGUUCACCAAGAAAAUGACUUAGGAAGUGCUAGAAAACAGGAGACUUUAUUCAUGUGUAUUAAAAACCUAGCAGGUUUUCUGAAUCCGGAGACAAACCGAUUCGUUAAGUACUAAAAUCUAGAGGAGAUAAAGUGCAGCAAAAGAAUUUGACGAUGUAUCUGUAUCAGAUAUUGACAUGUCUAUGGCACAUGGGUACAGAAAUUAAGAUUAAUUGAUAUACAAUUACAUAGUUGCAUUUAUAUAAAACUCAAAAUUCAAAUUUAACGGGGAAUAGACAGUUAAGAUUAGACAGAAUUAUAUAAUCUUGUUUGAACACAAGAGUAGAUGUUGAUAGCUGAGUAGCAUGGACUCCUGUCUGAUCUAGAAUCAGACAGAUAAGAUUUUAUUAACAUACUAUUUUAAUUAGAUUAGAACUAAAUAGUUAAGAUUUGAGAAUAGAUUACUUCCGCAUCACUUCUCACCCAGUGUAUUCAGGAACAAAGGCUUGAUAAGCGCAAAUCUCAGGAAAAAAGAAAAACUGAUCUGGGUAAGUGUAAAAUGUUAAGGCGCUGUUUCAUCUACAGUAUCAGAUAUAGCAUUCUAACCUGAAGUAUGAAUUAUCAAAAGGAAGAGAAAUACAAAAAUUGUGCAAAAAGAGGAAAGAACGGUACAAAUCCUUUUAAAAGGUUAACAACGUUGUACUUACUUGCAAUGUCACAAGCUUCUUCCUGAUGAGAAAAUAAAGGUAAGAGCUCAGGCCAAAGCAUAUACGGAACAUUAUUAGCUCAGUCCUCUUCUGGUUCUGCUAAAUUAUCAGCAUGCCCAAAUAUCAGAAAAAGCAAAGUUUGCCAUUAAAGAUGAUUACACUAAACCAAGAGAGUAUACCUCAAGAAAAUCCGACGAUUGCAUAAAAUUGGAAGGUUGAGCAUCCAUAUUAAAAAGAGAGUGCAUCAUGGUAAAAAGUUUAUGAACAAAUCCAUAAUGAUCAUCUUCUUCAUAUGGCCAAACCUACAGAAUUGAAAUGGCAUUACCUCAUAAACACUGUUUAGACCAAUUGGUCCGCUAAAAGUGAAUAAAUUACUAUGCAGAUAUAUCAAAAACAAAAUCUAGGAUAUCAAUAAAUUUCAAGCAAGGUUUCUUAUCUUAUAAAACAUACCAGUAGGGGUCUGAAUAAGCAACCCAUCCUCAAUGGAUGGCCUUUCUAGGGACAAAGAAUCUAUGACAGAAAAGUGAAAAUACUGUACCUUGCUGAGUAUAGAGACAACAAGAUUAACACGCUCCAAUGUGAACUCAUCAGCUCCAGAGAUAUCUCCCUUUAAAUUAUGAUGAAAAAUUGCCUGAUUUUCCUUUACAAAUUCCAAAACCUCACGAACAAUUUUAUUGUUCACCUGUAAAAGUUACAUUCUGUAGAUUCUUGACAAGCAUAGAAAGAAACGAAAAACAUAUAGAUAAAGGAAAGAAAAAGAAAGAAAAGCAACUUCUCAAAUUUGGUAAAGCUUUACAAAGAACUAUACUACUAAUUAAAGAACUCCAAAUUUACAAGAAAACUGGUUAGCAGGCUAUUUAUUUAAUAACGAUCUAUGGGAUCUACGCAGUGUUUUGGAAUGGCAUAUAUUCCAAUGCAAACCAUCUUUCAGAAUAAAUUAUUGAUGUGUAUUUUAGAGAGAGAUUUAUUUAAUACUGCGUGAUGUUAGUGUCCCUAGAACAUGUCCAAUCUAGAGUCACCUCACAUUUGUUAGGCAUACCAGAAUCCAAUUGAUAAGGACAUCUUUAACGUAACAGUACAGACCAUGCCACCACAAUGGCCUUCAGUACAAACCAAAGUAUGUCCAAAAAUCGAGAGAAAGACAAAAAGAGCGAUCUUUUUGGUAAAUUUUCAAUUUAGUGAAAGAAAGAAAGGUCAGAGGAGAUAAUUGGCACGAUUAUUACCUCCAGAAAAUCUGAUGAGUCAACUAAUGAUGCCAGGCAUGAGACCAAUCUCAGAAUUGGAGAUACAAGCAACUUCUCCUUGUCAGUCUCCCCAGCUCUAUCUUUGCUUUUGUUAUGACUAACCAACCUUGAACUUCCCUGUAACUUUCCAAUCUAAGUAUCGCAAGUGAGAGAUACAUAAUAAAGCAACUAACUGAUGGUACCUUGCUCUGCAAAGCCAAAACCUUGCAUGAUGCUAGAUGUUCCAAAGCACCCAUGGACAAUAGAAUCUGAGAGCCAUGCUUGCCAUAGUUGUGGCCAAUUCUCAGGAGCAAAGACAAUUGAGCCUCAAUAGUGCAAAAGCGCUGAAGAGAAUCCAAAGAGCCUGAAGCAUCCUGAAAAGUAUCAAUAAAUAAAAUGUUACCAGAACUUCUGCAAAAUGAGUAUGCACACACAGAAUUGACCAUGUUUAAGAUGGGAAGAUAUUUAAUUUAAUCAAGCAGGCAAUGACAACAUUAAGGAACAUAAUCAGCAGAGGUUCAUGAAUCUCAUAGCAUCUCCAUCAGUUUAAAAGUCAUUUUACCCACUGGCUAUGUCUAAAGUCCUUUUGUGUUCUAAUCUAGCAUAGAAACAUCAGUUGAUUGGAUUAUUAAUUUAUUAUGUGUUAAUAUACCACACGAUCAUCAUCAAAAAACUUGAAUGAGUUCCUAAAUCAACAUUUAGUCCACCUUCAAGAAGCCAUAACUCUUUAAGUUGUUUUUGCUCGAACAUUACUAAUGAAGUCAUUAACCCAUCUCAAUAUCCUAAACUAAGCGACACUACUUUUACACAGAUGUUGUACCAAGAUGCUCGACAUUCAAACCUUUAAAGCAAUGGACGAUGGUCCUAGCGGGGGAUCAGUUAAUUCCAAGUUCAAUACAAGCAAUACAGAGAAACCAAAACAGCACUAGAAGCUUUUCUUCCAAAACAGCACUAGAAGCUUUUCUUGAUCUACUAUCAUGGACUAAUUCUAUGUGCACCAUUCUGGACAAUGUUCUCUUCACAUUAAAUAAUAGACUGAAUAAAGUGAGAGUUGUUCAUUUGGAUAUCUAAUGACUGUCUUUUAUUCUUGGACCUAGAAGUUUGUCGUAUAUUUCUCUCCACGAAUCAAAAAAGUUGUCCCUACGAUCUCCUCACUUCAAUUGAACAAUCAUGUAAAAGAUAUAAACAACUGAUUCACACCGACUGUUGUAGUUAAGAUAGUCCACAAAAAAAAAAACUAUAUUAUUCCCCCAUGCCAUCCUUUGGUGCGUCCCUUUCAUGAUUUUCUACCAAUUAGUCUCCGAUAAUCAGUAAUUAAUUAACAGGUUAUCAGAUAUUAUGUUCUACUCGCGAAGAAUAAAAGCCUAAAAUAAAUAAUAUAUAACAAAUUUCAUUCAUCAGGAACUCAGGAAGUAUAUGACAAGUCACAAGUUUGAAAUAUACUGAUUUCUCUAAUGAACAAAGAUGCAAUGUAGUGAUGAGGCAGAAACCUUUAAGCAAGAAGACAUACCUUCAGAGAUAAAUUACUGAUUUCUCUCAUGCAUGAUUUGAGAAUUUCUCUACUUUGCAGCUGGCUUAAGAAAAACUUUUCAUGGUCAAUACUAAUGAAUGCAUCAAGAACAUAAAAUGAAAUAGCCUUCCCAGCUUCGCUGCCUUGAACGGCAUCCUUCGUUAUCUGAAAGAAUGAAGAAUAUCAAUAAGACAGCUAAACAAGUCAUGCAAAUUAUAAAUGCACAUACUGAAGCUAAAUAAACAAGAGAGAAUUCCUCAAGAAUGAUAGAGGAUUUCAGAUAAACCAAAAUGAGCAACGAAGUUCAAGCCAAGAAAACAGACAUAAAACUGGGCUGGGCAGUAAAAAAAAAAAGAAAAAAAAGAGAAAUGAUUAUGACUGUCAACUGAUAGCAAAUAGUACUUGAUUUUAAAAACAAGCAGGCAACAUUGUAUUAACACUGGCAGCAGCACUACAAUGGUGCAAAAAUCUCGUCUCUUCUUAUUCCCUUGUUGCCUAUUAUGUUUCAGACAUGAAUUAGUGCAUAAGAACUCAAAUAUGACGAGCCAGAUGUUUCAGAAACCAAAAAACAAUGCCAAUAUCAGUCCAUUAAAUAUUUUGAGACAUUUUUGAGAGCAAAUUAAACAGUAUACUUAAAGAAAAAUUCCUCCAAAGCAAAGUGAAUUUGUCUUUGAAUCCUCUUUGUUUAGGGAACAUAAAGAGAUGUCGUAGUCCAGUGUGAACUGAGAACCAAAGAGUUAGCAAUGUUGAGGAAAACAGCUCAAUAAAGCGAGGUUGAAAAAAGAAUAUGCAGAUAUAGAAACAGAGAAGGGUUUUUUUAGUGCAAUAGCCCUCUCCUAAAAUUUUAUUCUAAAAAUAGGCCCGUUAAAUUUUUAUUUGUAAAUAUAAUCCUAUAAAAGCAGUGAAUGAUUCACCGCUUUUCAUUCACCGCUUUUAAAAGCGGUGAACCAUUCACCGCUUUCUUUCUUUUUCUCAUUUUUUUCUAUAUUUCUACGAUGGUAAAAACGGUGAAUGGUUCACCGCAUUUAGAGGUCUAUUUUUAUAAUUAUUUUUUUUAAAAAAAUUAUUUUUAUAAUUAUAAAAAUCGAUAGGAUUAUUUAUUAAAAAAAAAUCAACAGAGAAACUAGCAAGUAUUGAACUUGCUAUUCCCUGAAAAAUUAGUAAAAUUUUUACACGAUCAUAAGAAAGAUGAGUAAGUAAUAAUUCAGCAAGGCACACAUUUAACUGAAUUUUACUUAUUGAAGCUUAAAAGGCCAAAACCAGGCCUUUGGGAUAAAUAAAAUGAGUUAAUGCCAUCAUCUAUACCUUUUCUGGAAAACAAUAUAAAACGCAAGAAAUGCCAAUGUCCAUCUACAUAAGUAUAAACCAAUUGAUGAAGCACCUACCAGAUCAAUGAUAGCUUGAGCCUCUUUUCUUAUUAUGGUGAAAUUGGCUCGGGCUAGCUCGUCUUGCUCCUUGUCAAUCUUUGAUAACAUGAGCUAUACAGUAAUCAGCAAAUAACUAUGCCAAAAGAAUUCAGAAAUAAAAGGUGAAAUAAGAAUUAACCUUUUGAAGAUUCAGCUCAUCUUCUCCAUCUUCUUCUUCAGAAAGCAAGAAGCGCAAAACUGACGGUGGUACAUCUGGGUCAAGAAAACUCCGACAGUAUUGAAAGUAACUCAGAAGUAAAGCAUAUUGUCUGUUAGCAAAGAGACAUGAUUAGGUUAGUACAGUGCUGGAAGGUCUAUUCUUUGUAUUUAUAUGUAUCUGAGAAUAAAAAAUACUGCAAUAGGCAUGGUACCGUCUUCUCAAAGAUUCUGAUGAUUCACUUCUAAGAAUAGACAUCAUAAGCUUAAACAAUAUAGAUUGACAAGCACCAUUAGACAACUGCUUAACCGAGAUAAUGUCAAGACAUGUUACACUAUCAGAAUCAAAGCCAGCAGGACAUAAGAAUCUUUCAUCCCGAAGUUUAGCCAUACAAGUGAGUGCUACCUACAAAUGUCAUGACAGAAAAAGCAGUGAGUUUUAAAAAGAUAUGGAACCAAUUGGAGGUCACAAAAUUGAGAAUGAAAAACAGAAGAAAAAAAUUAUAUGGCACUCACAUUGGUUAAGAUUACUGCCAUUUUUACCGAGCAAUCUGGAGAUACUGUUGCACUCAACGAAGCAUCAAGCAACCUGCCGCCAAUAUACUUAGAUGAUUAACAAUAUGUUCAAAGAACAUAGUUUAUGUUAAAACUAUAUCAACUCACUCAAACAAUAAUUGAGAACGAUCUUCAAGGAGAGACAUUCUUCUAGAUACAGCAACCUGAAAAAUGACCAAAAAAUUCACUUCAAGAUAAUAACAGAAAGCAUAUAAUAGUCUUAUUCAUCAAAUUAGGAACAAGUUAUGACACCAACCUCAACAAUCUGAGACCAUCCAGUUAACAUGUGCAGCUGUGCUGCCUGUUCUUCAAGAUUUUUGUUGUAUCUCCAACACCAUUUCAACAUAUGAUGGAAUGACUCUCUUAGCUCAGCCUUCUCGACCUCAUUCAGACGAGAGCUCAAUUCUCGAGACAUCUGGCCAAAGAAAAGGAAAAUGAAUCCUGGCAAUUGAUGACUGAGAAAAGAUCAAACAUGAAAAUAGAUAGAUAUAUUGAUCGUGUAUACACUACUUUUAACUUCUUGGUUUUGUAACUUAAAUAUGCGCACGCAUGCAAACACAGGCGCGCUGAGGUAGAUAGAAAAAUUAAUAGAAAUUUAGAUGGAGAGAGAGAGUGAGAGAGAGAGAUUUAAUAUCUGGCAAAAACACUUUCUGCAGAAGCUACAGACAGAAACCUGCAGAAGUUUUUCAUGAAGUGCAUCAAGGUCAAUCAGUCGAUCACCCCGCUCUGAAUAAUAAUAUAUGCCACCGGAUUCCGAUGUUGCAGGAUUUCUCAGUAUAUCUUCAACCUGGAGGGGAAAAGAAAAUUCAAUUAUAAACAGAAAAAUAAACAAAAAUCAUCAAUGCAACUAGGCUCACCUUCGCAUCAUAUUUUAAAUUAGAAAGAAGCUGUGGAUAUUUCAUAGAAGUGUCAGGAGACCUAAACUGGAUAACUUCAAGCAAUUCCAACACCUGAAAUAUAGUAGCCAUCCUUAAAAUUUCUGAAGAAGUAAACCAGACACAAGUUAACCCGGAGCACUGAGUGGUCAGUAACUAUAAAACAAACAACAUCUUCAAGUUAUGAAGAGGAAAACCUUUUAUUGGAGUGAAUACAAGAGAAGGGAAGCUAAGAAAAGAACAGCAACACAGAUGAAGCCAAUCAAAUGGGCUAACGUAUCUCAGAACUAGCCGAAAUCAACCUAAAUAUGCCGAAAACAAUACCUUCCACGCCGAAACAAGUCAAACAGAACUUACUAAUAUGUGUUGGCACCUAUUUCGAUUUCCUCACAAAUGAAACAGAUCAAUCAAGGGUUUUAGGCUUUGAAUGUUUUGGCUGUAAAUAAUGAAAUAAAGCAAAUAAGUGCCCCAAUAAAAAAAAGGAGGGUUUGCAGGAAUACCUUUUUUCUAUUGAUUGGCCUAUUUCGAACAAGGUUAGGAUCUGCCUCAAAAGUUUGCAAAUUGUUUGGACUCCAUCUCUCAGCAGCGCAUUGAAGAAAAGUAUGAGAAAGAAUAGCUAGGCAUGUUUCCCAAUGUGUAGAUGAAGCCAUAUCAGCAAGAUGUAGCUCCAAUGCUAAUAGCUUUAACAGCCAUGCCCUCUGGAUUUGGAAACACAACAACAACAACAACAACAACAAAACUUUCAAUCACUGAUGAAACACGCACGCGCACGCACAAAAAAAAAAAACAGCUACAACCUACAAGCACUUGAUGCUCCCAAGAGUGUAAGCGUAAUAGUAGCCAUAGUGGCAGAUAGUCAAAUUAUUAGUCAGUUGACAAUGGCAAAACCAGACAUGUUUAAUCCAAUAUCUUUUUAUAUUGAAUUAUGCGAUAGAGACCUUAUAAACAUGACAUUCAUCAGCAGGGAGAAUAAGUAAAGAUCAUUAUGUAGUACUUGUUUAUAAAUCAUAACUGAUCAUGAAAUUAAAAUAGAAACUUUUAAUCCUAUAUUUCACAUUCGAGAUCUUCCCAGGUUACAGAGAUUAGUAUUUGUAGACACUCUACGGGUUAGUAGAUGAUCAGUAACUAAUCCUACAUCUAGAAAACUAUGACUGAAGAAAUAGUUGUUACAAUAUAUACGUAGUCAGAAAAUACAACUUAGAUGUAUAUAAGGAACAUUAUAGGCAGAAAAGUUUAAUUUUAAUGUAUAUAGAGAACAAUGUUCUAUAGUUUCGAAAGAUUUCAUACAAAAAAGGAAGACAUUCCAACAUACAAUUAUAUUUCUAUAUAGUUUUGCACCUGAUGGAGUGUACUGAUGCGAAGAGCCUGAUUGUUGUUUCUUUUGGGGAGUGGAGCAACAGCAAAAGUUUCAAUGUGCUGUAAUUGAGCAUAAAAAAAUUAUAAACAUAGUGGAACAUAAAUGUAGCUGAAAACUAAUACUCUUUGCUCUAUAAUUAUCAAAUAAGGACCUUUGAAAAGCACUGGUACUUUUUUGUACUCAAAAGAUCCAUUAUAGGGCCAGAAGUUAAUGGAUCUACACAUAUUUCAUAGAGAAGCUGCAUUUGGCAAAACAGUGUUAGUCCACUCCAUUUAUAAGCAUGGAUAAUCGUUAACUGAAAGCAUUACUUGUGGGAGCAUAGAGUAAAAGCCAAACCUGGAAACCAAACUCAUGCAGUAAAGCAUUAAUAUUUGGUUUGGAUAAUUUCUCGAGAUUAUCAAGUAUAACCUUCAAACAACUGCAUAUUGUGUUGAGAAUCAGCUGCAUAUUCACAAUUAUAGAAACAAAUACAAUCGCAUAUAAAUAGUUGACCUGUAAUGGAACUUUGGCUGUAAUGUUGUCCGAUCCACAGAACUAUCAACAUCAAAUCUCAGAAGCAGAUGAGUGAUGUUUGGUGCAGGACGGCUGAUAUUAUCAAUAAGAAGCUGUUAUAGAGAGGGAAAAGAGACACAAAGAAAUUAAAAUACAGUGUGUAGCUUUACAUAUAGGAAAUAAUGAGCUAGAAAAACAUAAAGAGUUCAAAACAACCUGCAAAAUAAGAACACCGACAUCAUCUUUUGUGUUCUCUAUGAUCUGACACUCAUCAAAACGUAACUCCAAACAAGUUGCAUAAUCCUCAACAAGAGAUUUUGCAGCAUCUGCUUUCAACAAUAACUGUACAAGGCCAACUAUUCUCGAACUGUCGAGAGGAGAUUCAUAAAAAAUCCAAAAUAUAACAUCAAAAAUAGUAUUUUCAUUUAAAUUAACAAAAUUCAGUAGACUGCCAACCAGCACAUAGCCAAAAAAGAUGCAACUCUAACAACAUCAAUUUGCAAUAAAAAAGUGAUAUAUACCUUAAGACGCUCAUGAUCUUUAUCGAGCACUGUUGAAUCUGAGGUAGAAAAUCGUAUCGUACAUACUCCAGCAACGCAACUAUGUGUCUAUGAUCUUGAGAUAAUAUGGCAUCCAAGGGCUAUAAUAAAUUAAAACAUAAGAGUAAAUGUAUUGUGUGUGUGUGUGUGUGUGUGUGUGUGUGUGUGUGUGUGUGUGUGUGAGAGAGAGAGAGAGAGAGAGAGAGAGAGACCUGGUAUAAUGGACGCCAGAAGUCAGAGAGAACCAAAUCCCUCUCCAUAACAAGAACAAUUAUUUCCAGUGAAAGAUGUACAGCUCUCUCUAAUAAUAUGCCAUAUAUUUGAGUUGUCCGCUCAUUGAUAAUGGUAUUCACACCCAACAAAAUGAUACUCAUGAUAUUGCGAAAGACGAUUUUACCGCUCAUGAAAUCCUGUAUUGACAUUCAUUAACUAUAAUGUUAUGAUAGGCAUCAAACAACCUGUCAUGAAAUUUGAUUUCAUUACAUGAUGUAGCAAUUAUUAAUCAAGAAUGGUUUGCCACCAACAGACGUCGCUGACUAAAAUAUUCUAGAGGAGCAGUAUAAAUGUAACAAGUUCUUCAAGACUCUCUGGUGUCUGGGUAUCAAUGCUUCAUCAAAGAGAAAACAGUUAACAUUAUAGCACAGGGAAAAGUCUGAAUAAUAGGCAAAUAUUGAUACCACAUGGCAUGAGACAACACUUCAGCUGGAUAAGGAAAUUGAUUAAGACAAAAGCAGACGCCCUACAAUCCUCAUUGAAGUAUUCGAGCAUUUACAGCACAAAGCGCACAUACAACCCCAAUUAAAGCAAAUAAAGUGGUGGAAACUUUCAGCACCAACAAGCAGAUGAGCAACAAGAAAUAUUUCAGGUAAGACAUUGCUUCUAGAACUUAUAGUUAGUUGGUGAUCAGUGUUUUAUCAGCUAUACAUAUAUUUCAUCAAAAUAAACUCGGAGUCAAAUAAAGUGCCAGUAGCUUUCUAGUUUCUACACUUUAAAGGCACUCCAAUGAUAUAAUCUAAAUGUACAACGAUAAAAAGAUAAGUUGCUUAACAAGUUAACAGAUUAGCAACUUAUAUCAACACAAACAUAAAUUUUAUUAACAGCAUAAAUAGUGGAAAUCUAUAUGCAGGAACUUAUAUAAGCAGAAAUUAUAAAAAAUAAAAUGUAGAUAACCAGGCUGAGAAUUAUUGGCAUACUUUUAACAGCUCUAGCACAGGGAUCUGUGUCUCAACAGAGGAAGCAUGAGGCAUUGACGGCUUCAUGUCAAUAGCACUUGCAAUAUCCUCAUCUUUGAUGUCGUACAUGCUCAAAACCCUGUUGAUAUCACCUCUAAAACUUAAUAUCUCAAAGUUUCCUCAAUUUCUUGAGCAGAGAAAUCUAAAGUGUAUAAAAAAUCAAUUCUUAAACAUGGUGAAAUUCAAUUAAUUCUUAAAUCAAUAGCAAAUGUGAUCUCCAACAAAGCUCAAAACUAGCUAGCUUCCUUAUUUUGCAGCGCAAAAUCUGCCAAGAGAAAUGCAAUAGAAAGGAAAAGAUUUGGCAUAUACUGUAUUAUACUUACAACCGAAAGUGCUCGAGGCAAGCAAGAACCAGCUGCCAUUUUUCACAAGGAUCAGCAUACGCCCUUUGAGGAAAGGGCCCAAAGACAUAAUCAUAAACAAACCUAAAGAUGCCUACAAAUCUGAUGAACUAUAGAUUGUUAGUUUUCUAUAAAAAUAGAACAAAAGAAGUGUGAAACCAUUAACAAGUUGCAGGUAGCUACCUUCUUCCUCUAUCACUUACAUCUCGCUCCUCCGCAAUAAGAGCAUUUAUCAAGUUAAGAAAGGAUAUUGUAGACGGAUACCUUUCCCUCCUGGCUUCAAAUUCAUUCAGCUCAUAUCGCAUGUCAUAAAUCUGCAAGAUCAUAUCAUAGAAAUAUUAAGGCAUCACAAGAUAACAAGCAAGGUCGUUACACAGCAAAAAUCUCAAUUUUUAUUUCAAUUAAGACACCGAUUUAUGCUGCACAUAGCAAAAAAUCAAAUCUCAAAGUCAAUUCUCACCAAAAAAAGAAAUAAUCUAAACUCCUCACCAAUUACGACUUCACAGAUAUCCAGAAUAAUUUGUAUUUUAACUGAACAGGCCAUAAUCAAUUAAUAGUUACAGUAAUACAAGCAGUGCUUUACCUCGAACUCACUUCUAUACUAGUUAACAACAACACAAUUUAAAUUUUUUUAAAAAGGAAAGGUACAACACAAAACAUAAAAUUUGGUACCUGUGUGGUUAUAUGUUGUCCACUGCUAACUGAAGGAGCAACUACUACGGGAAGAUCAUAUUGCUCAAGGAAACUCCAGAUAGUAUCUCUCUGGACAGGUGAAACUUUGACAAAUGCUGUAAUAGCAUUUCGCAAAGCUCCCUGCAGAUAAAGUGUAUCAUACAUUCACCCAAAUAUAUACCACUUCAAUAAGUUGCAGCACAAGUAAUGCAAGGUUCAUACCUUUAGAUAUGGGGGCACACUCUCAUAACCAAGAAGCUUAAAUAAUGGUUCAAUAUCUGAGAACCAUUUUUUUCUUUCAGUAGGAUUUCCAUUUUCAACUACCUAAAACAUAAUAUCAAUGGCUCAGAUCAAAUAUUUAAUUAGGAAACACAAACUGCUUAAUAAUAAGACAAAACAACAUAAAUCAGCGACAAACGAGUAGGACAAGAUAAGUUAGCUUAUGAGUAUUAAAGCAAGUUAUAGAUACAAAAUUGCAAAAUGCGGAUAAACCACAAAUGCAUGCACAAAAGUAAAGCAUGACAACAGGAGUUUGAAUGAUAACAUAUUUAAGUAAAAUAAAAGUAUUCUGAAGAAAUCCUUAAGUUCAGAUUUAUUAUGGUAAGAGAUAAUUAUAGACCACACAGCAACAAAUAAUUAACCAAACUCAUCUCAACUCAGCCUUAAUCACACUUUCGUUGAAUUUGCUACAUGAAUGAUACAACCAAAUACUGAUUAAGGGGCUUAAUUCAAGCCUUUUUGAGCUAGACUCUUCUAUAGCAAAGUUAAAGAUUAGGUCCUUAAGAAAUUAUUUAUACAUUUUGUAAUUUCAUCCGCUAUUUAGAGACUAAAUAUUAUUAAUAGAAGAGAUUACUGCAAGCAGCAACUAGAUCUAGAAGCAUAAUUUAAUUUAAGAAGCCUGCUUGUUGUUUGAAAUCUAACUUUAGAUUAAAUAUGUGAAUAGUAUCUGACUAGAGGAUUCUAUCUCCGGCUAACGAUAUUGUAUUUCAAGAUGAUGAGAUUCUAUUCAAAUUUUAUUUAACUAUGUCCAGAUCUAAAGAUAAUUUAGCCAGAUCUGAUCCAAUUAUCUAUGGUUCUACGAUGGGAUAUCAUUUUUGAAGGGUCAAACGAUGUGAAAAGGAUAGUCACAAUGCAGACUAUCUUGAAUGUAAACAACUUUUUUACCAACAUUUAUCUUGUGGAGUUGCCACAAGUUCUAUUCCCUGAUACAUGUCCUGACUUAUUUGAUAGGAAUGCCUUCUUCUCUAAGAACCUAUCACAUGACUUCAUUUGACUUCCAUUAUAUGUUAUUUUCACAUAAAUAAAUACCACAUGGUUGUCUUCUUUUACUUAUUUGUUCAUAUCAACUGUUUAUGUAAAUAUACAGGUAUGAAAGGUUUUUUUUUAUUCCUGGCUUAACAGGCUAGCUGUGAAUAGGGUCAACCAAUAAGCCCUAGUUCACAAGGAGACCUUUCCAAAAUAAAGUCGAAAGGUGAAUUGUCUAUUAGACAAUAACCAGCAAACAAGAGGAGAGAAAGGCAAAAGAAAGUUGAAAAGUGGGCUGUCUUACAGACAUCAACCAGCAAACAAUAGGACAUAAAGGUAAACGCUAAACAUCAACGAUCUGAAUUUGAAGAAUGUAUCCAGUUAGCAUAGGAGCAGUUUAGUAAUCCAAACCUUCUUAAGAACAUCCAAAUAAGCAACAAGUGCUUUUGCAUCACCCUCCUGAAAAUCAGGCAACAUGGUCCCAGAAGAUUGGAGAGCCUGUUUAAACUUCUCCUCGUAAAUAGAUAAGCAGUCAAACAAGGUGCUCCACCCAACUGACCGAAACACUUUACCAUUGAGCAACUCAUAAACUCUUGAAGCACCUUCUUCAUUAGAAGCCUGAAAAGUUCAAGCUAAUUGAAAGUUAAAAUGCAACGUGAUGUUUUAGGUAGCACAUGCCAAGUAAUAGAAAACAUAUUGUAUACCAGAGUGCUAAGAAGUCUCAAGAAAGCUACAAGAGUUUCAAUAUUAGUAUGAUCUUCCCCAGCAGUGGUGACAAAUGUCCAUAACUCUUCAUUGCCAUGCAGCAACUCAGGCUCCUUCUGAAAAAACAAGGAAAUGCAGUAGGAUUUUAGCAUGCAUUAUUCAGAAAACAGAGAAUAAGUAGUAAUGCACAUACAAAUUCUUGACCAAAUAUCAUUUCGUAUUCACAAUAUGGCAAAGGAUUUUUUUUUCAAUAUAAUAAAGAAAAGUUUACCUAAUUUUUUUUUUCUAAAGGCCUCAUCUUACCAGACUUUGCCCCACAGACGAACGAAAAACGUUGUAGGAUUUUUCUUUCUGUCAUCUCUGUUUUGAACACCUCCAACUUUUUGUACUUUCAGCUUUGGUAACCUCUAGGGCUCUAGGUCUUCUUUAUCUUUUCAAUGAAAUGAGCAAAUGGAACCCAUGCGGCAAUAGGCACCAGUGAUUCAAUAGAAGAUAAAUUCGUAAAUGUAUUGAAUAGAGUGGGAGAUAAAUUCAUAAAUGAGGAUGGCCACUCAUAGCGCCAAUGGGCGCCUUAAUCAUCUUCUGUAGCCAUCACGUGCUUUUUGUAACAUUAAAUGUCAUGGGGUUUGCUCUAGCCGAUUCCUUAAAUGUCAUGGGCUUUGGUCAAGCCGAUUCCUAAUGAAUGAGGUUUUCAACAAUAACUGCUACAAAAUUUGGACUUGUAGCUAUAGUUAACCACAAAAAUAUUUUGUCAGAUGUCUAUUGAAGCAUUUCCAAUUUUUAUUUCUAACAUCAUUACUUCAUUAUUUUCAAAAUGGCCUUGAAUAUUAAUUAAACAAAUUAAUAGAGAAAGACAGUGGAAUCAUAUGCUAAUCAAGUAAGAACAUAUCCGGAUGACAUUUAGUUUUACCCUUAUAUUAGACAGUUUUCUCUGUAUUAGUGAAGCAACAUUUCAACACUGAAAAAAUCAUAAUAACUGAAUUACACUAACAAUGAGAGGAGGAUACAUAAAACACAUUCUAGAAGAUCAUGAAGUCAAAUAAAUGUUGAAAUAUAACAAAUCAACAGAGAAAGACAAGAUUUACCUGAUAGAUUUCUCUAACCAAUUCCAAUAAAGAUACAAAAGGCUGAGUACUUCCAGGAGAACCUUCUUUUAGAUUAUUAAUAUCUCUAAAAUCAUCCAACCUUGGAGAGAUGUAAGGACUAAGGGCACUCAUGGCUUUCUCCUUCAUUUCCUUCACCUAUUAGAUGAUGACUAAUCAAGAAUGUGCAAAUGUAGGAAAAAUUGGCCAUACUUCCGAAAUACAAAUGUAUGACUGUAUAUGUGGUCCAAGUAGGAAAAACUGACCAUACUUCUGAAACAUAAAUGGCUGAAUGUAUAUAUGCAUGAUCUACUCAUAAAAGGCUAAAUCUUGAACUGAAAGUAAUACUUUUUAUAUUGAUAUAAAAAGCAAAUAUGCAUGUACAUAAACAGGCAUCUUCACUUCAAUCUUUGAAAACUUUUGAUUACUGAAAGCUAUUAUCAGCAAUACACAGAUGAGAGUUCAAUUAAUUGGAAUAACCAAGCUCAACCUCUCGGACCAGUCUGAGGAAUCGAAGGAAAAAAAAAACUCAGAAGAAACAUUCUGACCUUCUCCCUAGUAAGUGGGUGUGAAACAAAGCACAUCAUGAGCUUGUGUAAGUACCCAUUAUACAUAUAAACCAUGUCCUCAUCAUCAUUCUGCACCAAAUAGAGCUCAAAUCAAAUAAAAGCGAGGCAACAGUUGAAAUAUCGCUAAAUAGUUAACAAUUCCAUCCCUAUCAUCAAAUUGCUCCAAAAUUACCUACCCUAUUUAAUCAUCAUCCAAAUGUAUUUUGAGGAUUACUAUAAAGAAAAAGCUCAGAAGAAACGAAAAACAAAUGGCAAACAUAGCAAUAAAAUAUAGCGUAUGUACAAUGUUAGCAGAUCCACUUCAUGUGAAUAACAGUAAACAUAAAAUAAAGCAUUCUUGCUAUUUUAUUUCCUUUGUGGUGUGCUCUUGCUGAAAAGGAAAGGAAUAUCAAUCCGACAAAAUUACUGAAUUUCAUAAUGUGCAUCUACGAUAACCAAAAUUCAAUGAAGCCAUGAACAUUUCAAAAGAGAGAAGUAAAACAUCAUAUGCAUUCACAGUUAUGCUCUUAAGUAGUAGUUAAAGCAAAAAGAUUAUGAAAAAACUUCAGUAACAUGAAACCAUAUUAUUAAAGAUAUAACCACAGAUAUAGCUAAUCAGGAGUCAGGACCCAAUUGUUUUGAUUGAUCAGAACAUAUCACUUCAAUCACAAUAUGCAGCGCAUCGAACUAGACCUGAUAAGCAGCAGUUUUGAUAACAUUUCCCAGUAAAAACUGAAAGACAUUGUUUGAGCAAAUAACUUCGAGACAUGAGCAAAUAUUUGCCAAGUCCCUGGAAGAAGCACUCGAUGGAGCAUCUGUCAUAGUACUUUGAUCUUGAGUUAACAUCAAAUGUACAGCCCAUGCAAGUCGCACUACAUGAACAAACCCCUCAAUAUUUGUAUUGUUACCAGCACUCAUCACCUGAAAUUAAUAGAACGCAUUAAAACUCACCAACAAAUUAAUGUUCAAAAACACAUAGAGAGUUAAAGUAAAAUAUAUAAGCUUACUAAUCCAUGAAAUUCAUGUCUGAAGGAGGCAUCAGAUGACAACGUGGAUGCCGUAUCAGGGGAUGUUCUUAGAGCAUCAGAGAUGAAAGCUAUUACAAGGGAAAAGAGAACACCGAAUGUGAUCUGCAAUGAGUGGAAACAAUACAGUAAGAUCCCGAGCUAAGGACACUACUAAGCAAUGGAUCCUAUUAAUCCCUACCAAAAUAUCCAAUAUUACAACACCUUAAAAUUAACAACUAGAAUAUAAAGAUAUAGAUUGAAACCUGCAAUUGUACUGUAGUAUUUUCAUCAACAUCAGCUGCACAAUCCUUCAAAGUUGAUAGCACAUCUUUUAAAUCUUUAGGACCUGAAAGUGAAAAUAACCUUAAUAAGGUACCAUUCCUAGGAAGAUGAUGACCAACAAAUAUGAUUCACGAAUGUAAUUGAUGACAUACGAACUUUCCCUAUGUCCAAUACAAUUAUUUUCACAUGUUUAAGUCAUUGGGGGUAUUACAAUUAUUUUCACAUGUUAUGUCACGGAUGACAAAGAGUUACUUGCAAGUACAGUUCUUAACGAUGCAAAAAAAAAGAGAAGGAGAAAAAGAGCAAUGUUGUAGAGUACAUAUUAUGAAUAAUGUCAAAGAAAGUUUAGCUUACUCAUCCUUAUAAUAAGGACUGAUAAUGCAAGGCAGUGACUCAAACUCAGUCUCUCCCGCAGCACUACAGCACGUCGCUCCACAAGAGCACCUCUGAAGUCCAGGACAUACCGUUCAGCAUUCUGAUGGCCGACACCAGCAGGUUCUUCACGAUUUAGUUCCUAAAAUGAAAGAGAGCAAAGAUACAAUAUAAAUUGCCAACUCAAUACGGCAAUAAAUAAGUUUAAAUACAGCAGCAUUUCCAAAUAUAUCAUCGCAAUCUUUCUGUGAAACAACCACAAAGAUAUGACUAACUAAAAUCAUGCUGCCAACCAUAUAAUGAGAACUCCUACUGCAGAAACACUAGAAGAUGGAGAAAAGCAAAUUAAGACAUAAAAUUAAUGCUUUGUGAAGUCCAAACUUUUAUAAGCAUAAUUAGCCGCUGCCUGAGACCAGAGCUAAAUAGAUCCUCCAUAUGUUUUUGAAUAUCAGCCACAAGGCCACCAUCCAGCCCCUGAUCAAGUACAACAGACUGCAAGGGACAAGCACAAUUGGAAUUUCACUUUCCAGUGAUGCAUAAAAACGAAAAGGAGCAGUAGAUAGUACAAAUAGAGAGCACAAAGCCCAAAUAUAACCAAGUUGCAAAGUAGCUGCAUGUUACCCGUAAAAGAAUGUACAAAGAGGUUAUAAGAUCUCUCCUCUCCAUAUACCAAAGGCCCGCAGCAAGACGAAAUAUCUCCAGUGGCUCUCGUCCAUACAGAAUCCACUACAAGGCCACGAUGGUUAAUGCAUUGAGGGUUACUAUUAAACUGCUCCAAGGAUUAAAGCCAGCCAAUUGAUAGCGAAAAUGUGCAAGUAAGAAAGUGUACCUCUCGAUUAGCAUCAACGAGCAAACGAACACACUCAAUUUCAUUGAGAUUGAGGUCAUCACUCAGUUUCAAUGCCUAAAAAAUCGCAAUGUACCGUGCAUGUAAGAAAUAUAAAGAAAUGCUGAGGUGGUUUUAAACCAUUUAUUAGUCCUGUCGAGGAUAAACAAACAGAUAGAAAAGAUGAACCAAAGCUUAAAUCGGCAUUAGAAAGGCUGAUACAACAGUCCACCUAACAAGGAUAACAAGACUUAAUGAAGCGAACAGAGGCAGAGGCUGGGGAGUGCAGUAAUCAUCUAAUCUGCCCACUUGUAUCACAUUGUCUGUCUUCAGCUGUGGACCUUCAGCUGUGAGAUUCAUGGUGAAGCGAGGUUUAAGUUGUAUGAAUCAUUUGUUUGCGUAAUGGUGCAGAUCUGUUUGAGUUGUACUGCACACGACUUGCAGUAAACUCAACAAUCUACAAUCAAUUAUCUCCUGAGUUUUUUUUAGGGAUCUUCAACUUAGAAAACUUUUCGAGUGCUAAAGGAUAAAACAAAAAAUAGUUAACUAUUGGACAUUUCAGAUUACAAAGGCGAAAUGCAUACUCCCAUUAUGAAUAAAUUAACGUGAAAAUAAGGUUUUAAGAAAACAUCAGCGGGUAUCCCGGUAUGAUGUAGCAGUUUGGAAGAUAGGUAAGGCAUAGGUUGCUAAGAUUAAUGACAUGCGGACUCAUUCAGGCUGAUUUGGAUGAGGCUACACAUGGACUUGUCGGAAUAAUGGCACAGCAGUCUAUUGUGCCUGCGCAUGGACUUCUUGGUAUAAUGACACAGCAGUCUAUUUUGAGCAAUUCGGAUUAACCAUACUGGCUUAGAGAAAUGGUGCUUGUUUUGGCUUGGACAUCUGAUUCGUGCGGCGAUCGACUAACAGAUAUUAGUAGAAAUAUUUCAUUUUGAGAAAGGAAUAGCUCAGAGGAGCCUGCGGAAAUAACUAACUGAUGCCGCUGAACUGAAAGGACAGGCAAAGAAGACAAAUCGGAAGAUAUAUAAAAAAAAAUAAAAAAAAAGAGAGUGCUCGCCUCGUCAAGACAUCCCAUCCGAGUGCGUUCGUAUGGAAGAAAUGGGACCAAUAAUCGAGACGCAGCAGAUUGAAGAAACAAAUCAGGCAAGAGCGAUGGAAGCUUACAAUCUUCACAUCCGUGUCGUCGAGCGAGAUUGGUGGCGAAUCGGGAAGCCGAACCUCUUUGGACUGCACUUGAGCCCGAUCAGAUGCCUUGGGGCCCUGCGCAUGAAACUUGGCAGAAUGAGACUAGGACGACUCCGCCGGACAAGUAAGAGUACCCUGAUACAAAGACGAGGCAGAAGAGACCGGAUAGGAAAGGAGGGAUUGGAGAGCGGGGAGGGAACUGCGGAUGGCGUGCAUGAGCUCGAUCCGCUGGGUCGGGGUGGGAGGAGCGGGCCCGAGGAGCGCGUCCUCGAUCGUCGAGAGGAGCUCCCGCGGGGACACCAUGGCUCCUGCCGCUCGAGCUCUUUCGCCCAACCCUCUUCGAGCUCUCUCCCAGUGCUCUACUUUGCUUUCCCCCGAGGGCUCCGAAACCCUAGUCGGAGGGAGGAGGAGGGGUGGGGGAGUAGGGAGAAAUGGAGGAAACAGGGGAUGGGCGGUGGUUUGGAGUUUUUGUUAAAGUUAAACCCUAGUGAGGCGCGGGAAGGAGGAGGAGGAGGAGGAGGAGGAGCAUGCUGAGCUCCGCCGCUGCUACUUAGGACGAUGGGAGAGUGCGGCGCGUUGCGUGGCGGACGCGAUAUCGGUGCCAGGGCAUUUGGAAUUCCCGCGAUUUUGCUUUCCCCAAUUUCACUGCCGUUUGUACCUCUGUUGGUUUCCAACAUAAUUUUAGGCUUAAAUUACUAUUAGUUAUUUUAUUAUUUAAUUUAUUUUUUAGAAGUGUAGCUCGUGCACGCUUUUUUGUAUCUGAUAUCUUAAUAACUUCUAAUAAACUUUAAUUUUUUCGACUAAUUUUGGAUUUGUUUUUUCUUAAAUUUUGGAAUAAUGUUUGAAUCAAGCAUUUUACGGUCAAAUUUAACACGAAUAAUUUUAAGAUUUUACAAAAAAAAAAAAAAGAGGAAAAAACUAACAAUGAAUAUUCUUUUAACUCUUUUAAUAGAACAUUUUGUUACUUUUAAAAAUUAAGAUGUCUAAUUUAAUUUGUUGAUUUAACGUAACAGGAACAAAUAUUGGGGAGGCCCAGCACAUCCCAUGGCCGGGACCGAAUGGGCCGGGAGGGCCCAAAUGAUGUUUACCACAGUACCUCACUGCACCCGUGGGCCAGAAUCUUUGUCCACAUCGAGUCGUUGCUCUGUCCCUGUGGUUUCGUGGGCCUCUAUAUAUAUAUAGUUACCAAAUUAUGAAAAUGAGGAAAAUUGCAGAUAAUAAUGUAACUUGCCGUGCGUGGGAAAGGGAAUUUCGGAAACUUGGUUCAUACUUGACACUAGUAUCUGAAAAUUUAUAUAAUUAAGAAAAAUAAUGCAUGUAUAUCAGAAUAGCGGUGUAGAUCUUACACUCCUCUUGUUUUAAGGUUGAGAAAAUUUUUAAAAUUUUCAGUAUUUUAAAAAAAUGACAAUAUAAGAGCCCAAUAAGAGUCUUUGAAGGAGUAGGUAUAUUUUUUGGUGUACAGGUAGUAAUGCUUUAUGUUUCGGUAGCUGAAAUUGAAAUUGUCAUAAUUUUUUAUUGGUGUACGUCUACCAAAGUAUAUGCACUGUAUUUGGCUACGAUUUAAAUCUUUUUAAUUUCUGAAGAAGAGUGUUUUUAGUUUCUGAAUGCGAAGGCAUUCAAUCCACGACAGACUAUGGCAGAUACUGGUGCCCUAUCUCCUUCACCUGGGAAUGCAAACAAAGAUGGCAUCUCUCCGAGGACACAGCUCCCACACUUUCACAAGAUUCUUUGAGGUAAAAAAUAAUAUAUAAAAAGAUAAAAGAUAAAAGAUUCUCCCAGCGUCAUACAAACUCUAUCCCAUUAAUAAUGUUUAUAUACACAUACAUUUCUGAUUUCCCCAGAUUAAGUGAAAAAAAAAAGGAUAGUGCUGCUGUUUCAUAAAUAUUAUUAUUAUUAUUAUUACCAUUACAUAUUAAUAUAUCACUAUAUUAUUAGUAUUAUGUUAUAAUCUUAGUUAAUUAUUUAUAAAAUUUAAGCUAUUAUAAAAGUUUAUUAACACGUCCAUAGCGUGUAAAAUAACCAUCAUUUACAAGAAACGAAAUCAUUUUCCAAGCCAAAUAAACAGCCUCGGGCAGGACGCAUUAGUCCGACGCUUAAUUAGGAAACCCAACGCCUCACAUAGUCUCAUCCGCCCGCCACCAAAAUAAAUAAAUAAAUAAAUAAAUAAAAUAUUUUUAAAAAAAAAACAGAAGAAGAUAAAGAAAUCCUGGCUCACGUUGCUCUUCUUGUGCAUUAUAUACAUGUAUACGCAUAUGUAUAUGCAAUUAAUUACUGGGCUAUUGCAGCUUAAUUAUAGAUUAAAGCAGAGAGAAAAGAAAGAGAGAAAGUGAGAAUGGAGGUGGAGAACAAGUACUUCACGCUGAAGCAGUACGUGGAUGGGUUCCCGUCGGAGUCCGAUUUCGAGCUCAGAAGCGGUCCGCUGCUGCUGGCGCCGCAGGAAGGCUCGAAGAAAGUAAUCGUGAAGAAUCUCUUCGUGUCCGUCGAUCCCUACCAGAUCAACCGCAUGAAGAAGCGCAGCCCCUCUCACAAAUCUGCAAACUUCGCUCAACGAAUCGACCUAGGAAAGGUGACGAAAACAACAAAAAGGCCAAAAAAAAAAAAAAGAAGAAAAAUCUUACAUGACAUACUAUAUAUAUAUAUAUAUAAAAUAUAUAUAUAAAAAUAUAUAUAAGCCUACGUACGUCUUAAUUACUACGAACGUACGUACUGAUCGAUGCGUGUGAUAUAUCGAUGGGUGGAUUGAAGAGGAUCGACGCGAUGGGUGUGGGGAGGGUUGUGGCAGCCUGCGGGUACGCGGAGGAGGAGUUGCUGGGAUGGGAAGACUACACCGUCGCCGGGCCCGGGAGCAUGCUGACAAAGAUUCCCACCUCCCAGUUCCCGCUCUCUUACCAUGUCUCAGUUUUAGGUCAGCUUUUUUCAUUUCUUCUUCGUUUCUCAAUUUUCAUUCCCCCCUAGCUCCCCUCCUCCUCUUUUGCAACCGCAUGCAGUACUUUAGAUAUUCGGUUAAUUAACUAUUAACUAUUGUGGUUUAAAUUAAAGCUUGCUUUUACGCUAGCUCCUGUACGCACGUGAAAGUUUCGAUUUGGAAAAAGUCCUGUUCGAGCAAAAUAGGGAACUAAACCAUCUGUUUUCAACAAACGUAUUAUAUAUGCAUGCUUCGGAGAUAGAUAUUAUACAUAUAUAUGGAUAACAUGCGUGCGUGUACGCGCGUUGCCGUGCACUCUCAUUUUGAGCAGGGAGUAGCGGGCUUACGGCAUACGCCGGUUUCUAUCAGAUAUGCAAACCGAGAAGGGGGGAGACGGUUUUCGUCUCCGCAGCGUGCGGAUCCGUCGGACAUCUCGUCGGCCAGUUCGCCAAGCUCUCUGGUUGUUAUGUCGUAGGAUGCGCAGGGAGCAAGAAAAAGGUUCAGUUCCUCUCCCCGCAUGAACUUUUAAGUAACUUGCGGCCGGGGUAAUUAAUAUUUUGGCAGCACUGGCGUACGUGCAUGCAGGUGGACCUGCUUAAGGGCGAGCUGGGAUUCGACGACGCUUUCAACUACAAAGAAGAGCGUGAUAUCAACUCUGCACUCAAGAGGUCUGUUCGGCCGUCUCCAUGCAGCCGUGCUCUUUCUUCAGGCAGUGACAAUGUCGCCGCAGCAUAACUUUCUUUGUACUUGCUGGAAACAGGUGCUUUCCGAGCGGGAUAGACAUAUACUUUGACAAUGUGGGCGGCGAGAUGUUAGAAGCAGCCGUCGCCAACAUGAACGCCUUCGGAAGAGUUGCCGUCUGCGGGGCGAUCUCAGAGUACACAAGCUCCGAAAGACGAGCAGCGCCUGACAUGCUGGAUGUGAUCUACAAGAGGAUUACUGUCCAAGGGUUCCUAGCCUAUGAUCACAUUGCUGUGCACGAUGAAUUUAUCUCCGUUACUUCUGAUUACCUCCGGCACGGCAGAAUGCAGAGUAUCGAAGACAUCUCCCAUGGCCUCGAGAGCAUUCCAUCUGCCUUCAUAGCGCUCUUUCGAGGUGACAAUGUGGGAAAGAAGCUGGUUCAACUCUAAACCAAAUCGAUAAUGCACUUGAAGAUAUCAUUAUUUACUAAACCAACAGAUCAGUAUCUGUUUGUAGCCUCCAGUCUGAUUUCCGCACUAUGUUACUUUGCUUCACCUCAGAUAUCCUGAGCAUAAUCAUAAAGAGAUUUCUUUUGAAAUUUGAUACAAAGGGUCUCUCAGGCUAAAUUUACCUGCGCAAGUCUUCACCUACAGCUUUUUAGCUCAAACGACAGUUGAAAUGGACAGCAUUGCCGUAGGUUCAACCACCACGAAUGCCAGAGUCGCAAGCAAGCAACCAACCAACCAACAAUUUCUAUGUCUUGAAAAGGCAAAUAACUGCAUGAAUAACCAGAAACCAAUAGCAUAAAUUAUACAGAAAAGCUAUGCUGCAUGACAACUUUUGACGGGCACUCAACCAUCACACAAGGUGAAACAGAGCAAAGCUAAAGAUCUUGGACACUUCUCAUGGCGUUUGAAGACCAUGUAUUUCAACCACUAGUUUGUGCUUUUCGGCUGGCAGUUAUGCUUAUUUAUUUAUAAUAAUACACAUGCCGACCAAACCAUACUCUAACCUGAAAGUCAGAAUUAAGACGCUUACAAUACUAAGAUCACUUGAUUCUCAAUUCAAAUGAAUCUAAUUGCUAAUACUCUGUUUCAAUAUGAUCGAUAUUACGUGUUCAUAGAUUAAGACGUGUUGUUACAGAAGAAGAACUAUCCAUGCCAACCCGAAAGGCAAAAAGGCCAAGAAUAUGCCGUGUAAAUAACCUAACAGAUAAAUAUCUAAACAUCAAUCUAAUGAAUCAUUAGUAGCAUGUAUACCCUCAUCCUGUCGUGUUGGCAAUCCUUUCGCAGCGUAUAACCACCAAUCUCGAGCAUCUCUUUACCAGCCAGCAGCUAAAAGCUUUAGAUUUUUGUAUACCGACCUCAUAUUUUAUUGUCGAUUUUUUUUUCAGAUGCAAUGUUUGUUAUCAAAACCUUCUUCCGAAAGCAAACCUGUAAUAAGUCGCUUAAGCCUCUCAGCACCUUCCCCUGGUCUAAGCUCCGAUGCAGCUUUGACAGUGUAACGGCCGUCGCUAUUAUUCAUCUUUAACAAAUCAGACCAUCCACCGGGAACAAACCCAUCAGGCUCACGGCCCAAUAACUCCUUAUCAAUUUUGUCAAGAACAGGGUCUUCCCUGCCGAAUUUCCUUGCAAAGGGGGCGUUGCUGCCGACCAUACUCGAGAAAUCACUGAGGGUGAGGAAGUGGGGAUGCUGCUUUGGUGGGUUAUCCCAUGAUAUGAAAUGGAGGUCGUGGUUGACUGUGGUGUUCCGAAACUCAGGAGCAUUGCAGAUGACUGUGUGGAAGUACCCUUCAGGGGAAGAGAGGAAGUUCGCAUAGUACAUGAGGACAGUUCGGGGGAGAUUGUCCCAUCCCCACAAGCAGAACUCAAUGAACUGGUGAGAAAGCAUCAUCCAUGCAGAGCCUGGAAAGUGGAACAUAUGAAACAAUAUAAGUAAUCUGUUUUCAUGUGCGCUGCAAAUGCUACCAAAACUAGCUUCUGAGACAAACUAAGCAUGACCAGUACAUGUUGGUCCACGUGAUGCGUACAAGUAAGCAAUCGUACAUUAUUUAUACUUCAAGAGGAUGAUAAAAGAAACCUUUUCUCGAAUCAAAUUAUGUUGUGCCAACCCUAUCAAUGUUACAAAAUUCUGGCCUCACCUUUGUAAGGAGGGAAAAUAAUAGUGGUUUUCUCUACCUUGGACAUGAAAUAUGCAACGACACCUUGAUCAGUUUUCAACAUUAUAAUCAAUAUAAAAUGGACUAAAAGUACAACCGACCAUCAAACCAUCCAGCAUUCAAUUGUUCCAGAGAAAUCCAUCAACAUAAUCCAUAAGUAAUCAGGCACAAGGACAUAAAUGUACUGCCUUGAUGCAUGCCCAAAGUGUUUUUGAUACUAUUAGUAAUGCCUGCUAGUUUCAAUCCAGUUCAAGAAAUUCUGUGAAAUGCCCUCCCAAGAGCAAAAGUUUAAAAAUGUGAAAGGGCUUAAAGGCCGUUGGGAUUUUAACAGUCAAGUAUGAAUUUUGUAUUGUAUCAAAAACAUCAAAAGGUUUGACGUGUCUAAAGACCUAAAAUUUUGAAUGCUCAGGUAAAAUCUCUUAAAAGUAUAUGUUUCAAUCGUUGUAUUUUAUCUUUCAAAUUGAGCCUUCAAACCACAACAAUUCUCUUCCGUGCAAUCAACUUGCCCACAUUUCUUUCAGUCUAUUAAUUCUAUAAGGUAGGUACCAAUGAAUAACAAGAUCUCAACUGCUAUUCAAAAGCUACCGGAGGUAGCUUUCAAUGAAGAAUUACCUACAACAUUAGGCUAAAAUCAAUGGUCACAAGAACAAACUAAAGGAUGAGAAGAUGACCUAGAAAAUUCAGCAGCCAGUAUACAUGACAAGAGAGGAACUACGAAAUAGUAGGUAGGAGUAGGACAAAACAUUUAAAAAACCUAAUAUGCUACUCUUCAUUUUCUAAUGUUAAAGGAUUUAUAUCUGCAUUAAAAUGAGGCGUGAUUACUUCUCAGACCAUCAGUUCAUUUUGUAUGGUACGAUUUGUUUCAAUUGAUUUCACAAAUAGCAUGAUGUUACCUAGCAUCAUCAAUCCUUAAGAUAUUGCCGCUUGGUAGCUUGAAAUCUCCAGGAAGAUGAACCCUAAGUAACUGACAGCAACAAAACACAAUCUCAGUCUUUUCAAAUUAUCAAUACUUAGCUUUUGACGUAUGCUUUUUUUAAAAGACCAGAGCAUUCAAUCAGCAAAUAACAAAGCUUUCUGUGCAUGCGUAUAAGAAGACAUAUUAUUUCAACUACACCUUCUGCAAUCUAUAGCAGAUAUUUAUAACUUCCUAGGCUCAUGGUAGAACUUAUUAAGAGACAUGGCGCCACAUCGAUCCGGACCUAAUACCAACCACCUCUUACCAAUCAUAUAGUUUUUCUAACAACCGAUAGUUGGCUUAGCAGAUAUCAAUAAGUGCCAGUAGAUUAUCAUAUGCCAACCACUAUUAUUAUAGGCAUAAUGAUGGAUGAUACUUAAAUAAAUAGCACUUUUUGUUGACACCUUCAGAUGGAAGCAAAAGCAUCCAGCUGCAAUGUCAUAAAUUUGAAAUGCUGAAGUCAUUACACAAUAAGAAUCAUCUAUUAUUGUUUUCCACAAAAUUCUUAGCAAAUGAGGCCAAAAACACCAAGAAAUAAUUAUGUACGCUACAAACAACCCACAAUUAUAUGCCGACACGUUAUGUACUCUUUAGUCCUGUGUAGCUCUUGAAGAUGUAUAACGUUCUCAUAUUAAUUACGAAGAAGGCACAACGACAGUUCUCCGUUGAUAAAUAUAUUAGUACUUCCAAAAAAUCUGAAAAUGUUGCCAUUCAUAAUUUUGCAAAUGAAGAUAUAAUCAUAUCAACGGAUAAGAGCUGAUACAUCCUGCAGUUAUUAAAUCACUGCCCAACAUAUUUCUCACGCCCUCUUUUACUAUGAAAAUGUCUUCUAAUAGAAAAUAAUAAAUAAGGAUCCGGAAUUCCGAACUGUUGCCUACAAAUUGUUAAGCAAAGAUAGAUUGCCGUCUUAUCAUUCAACUGAAGCUUCGCAUAUCUGAGAAUUCUCAUAGAGAUUGAGAUACCAUCCCAGUAAAUAUAUAUAAGUCAGCUAGGAGAGCAAACAAUUACCUGUGAAGAGCUUAAAUGCAGUGGGCACACUCCUUUUCUCGGUAAUCCAGAAGACAUCCGACUUCUGCAAGCUAUACAGACCGGGGUCUAUGAUCACAGGCUUUGCCCUCUGAUAUCUACAAAGAAAUUACACAACUUUGUGAGGUCCUUAUGUCAAAAAGAAGUACUCGUGUUGGAAGGAGAGUAAAAAUUUAAUUUGCUGCAGGAAAAAAAAAAAAAAAACAGAGAAGAAAAAUUAACAUACUCCUUCCAUCCAAUGUCACUUGUAUGCUCAAUAAAAUUCAGGUGUCUCGGCAAGCUCGAGAGCACGUAUAGCAGAUCUGGCAGGAAAUUAAAGGGUAACGUGAGCAUCUUGUACAUACACGCAAACUUAGUUAAUUGAUGAAAGAUAGAACUCAUGCGACAGCAUCAGUUUCUAAGAACCAGGAAAGAGAGAGAGAGAGAGAGAGAGAGAGAGAGAGAGAGAAGGGGGGGGGGGGAAGCUGAGGCUAUAAAGAUUCAAACAAAUUGAUAGAAAAUUGUCACAAGAUAUUGAGAUGGGACCACCUCUAAGGCAUUAAAAUUUCACACAAAUGCACAUUUUUAUGUCGAGCAAGUUGAGGAAGAGGGCACGGAAUCCAAAUAGGAAGGGAGAAAUAGAUAUGGAACUAGCGACUAAUUCAGAAACCCAUUUAGGGCAUGGAAAGACACCAGGUAGCAAAUAAUAAUUAAGAUUAUAGCAGAAAUGAUAUGAUCUCAGGGAAAGCACUUCCCCAGAUAGCAGCAACUGGGAACCGGUAGGGAGAAAAAAAUAAUGAUAAUAGUAAGAGGGAAUACAAUAAUCAAGUCGGCUAGACGAAUAUGGAUUAUAUUGGGCAGGUCCGGAGAAGGAAAUCUAUCCAAUUCCAAAUCCCAAUUCAAAUUCCCAAAAUAGCGCAAGUGAAACUGGCGAAUCGGGAAACCCUAGCGCGCUCAUAAAAAAGGAAGGAAGGUAGGUGGGAGGAAGCGAUCGCGAUAAAAAUGCUAGAUCUGUACCGUCCUGCGUGACGAGCGGGUAAUCGGAGGCGCUGAGGUUGAUGAACCAGUCCCAGUCGCCGCCCUCCUUGAGGAGGAUGGCGGCGGCGUGGAGCGUGUUGGCCACCAUGGUGGGGCCCCGGUAGGUGACGAGGUUGGCGCGCGUCACGAUCCGCACGUUCCCGAAGCGGGCGUAGGCGGGAUCGGCGCGCACGGCGGCGGCGAGCUCGAGGCGCUCCGGCGCGGGCGCCUCCAGGUCGAGGUGGAGGACGUAGCGGUUGGCCGGGUGGUAGAGGGCCCGGAGCGUGCGCCUGAGGCUGACGCCGUCGCCGGCGGAGCCGGAGAUGAGGUAGGCGAGGCGGGGCACGGCGGAGGAGGGGGCCGGCGGCGAGGGGAGGAGGCGGAGCUUGGGCUCGACGAAGAGGGGGUCGUCCCCGGCGAGGGAGCGGAUGGGGGAGAAGGAGAGGAGGAGGACGCGGGAGGAGGAGAAGAGGGAGAUCGAGAUGAGCAGGGACGAGAAGAGCACCAGCGCCAGCAACGGCACCACCCACUUGCGCUGCUGCUGCUGCAGCUGCGUCGUCGUCGUCGUCGUCGUCGUCGGCGGCGGCGGCGGCGGCGGCUUCGUGAUCUCCAUGAUGGAGAUUGGGGAGGGGUGGGGGGGAUUACGGGGGAGAACAAACAGGAGACGGGGCGGUUAUCUUCACCACCGGGAAUCGCCUCGGGAUCCGCAGUCGCUACUACUAAUACUGCUGCUGCUGCUGCUGCUGCUGCUGCUAUUCCGCCGCUCGCCCCGACCCGGCUCUACUGCUGCUGCGACGGGCCCCUCGCAUCGCAGCUCCCCAUGCGCCUCCUCCCUUUUGUCCUCACGGGUCGAGCGACGGUGAGUGCGGAAUCUGUACUCUGCAGAGCCAAAGUCCAAUGGUCAGCGCACCGCCUCUGAAUGAAAGAAGCGGAGGAAUAUUAUGAGGUAUUACGCGUCAUCAUUCAGUGGGGAACGCUGUGGUUACCGGUAUGGCCGGAAUAGUAAUAAUACAUAAUAAUACAAUACAAUAUAUAUAUACUAGUACUAAUUAAGGCCUUAUAAAUUCCCGAAUAUAAAAUUAAUAAUGUGGCAUUAAUCUAUCUAUCUAUCUAUCUAUCUAUCGUCGAGAAACCACCCUCUUCGCUACGGAAGGGGUUGUAGAGGAUCCGAUUCUUGAGUCGGUGUGAAAGGACGAUGUUGGCGGCUAGCCGCGAACUGGGCAAAAGGCUGGGAGCUAAUUAUUAAACAUCUGAUAACUUUGUGAUGAGUGGCACCGCACAAACAAGUAAAUUAAGAUUGCUACAGCAUAAUCAUAUAAAAAAGAGUUUAAGAUUAUGCAUGUAUAUUGACAUUGUAACGGGGUCACGGGCGCAGCACGACUCUUGUCAUGUAACAGAGGUCAACCGAGUGGGGUGGACCAUCUCAUUACACCGUCGCAUGCACCCACAGUCUAAAAGUCACACCAGAGAUGCAUUAUUAUGCGUCUUGCUUUUUUUUUUUUUUUUUUUUUUUUUUUUUUUUUUAAGGACAUAAUUAAGUAAGAGGAUUUAAAGAUUAUUAUUACAAUAUUUAAUUUCUAAUGCAAAGCUUUUGUUAAAAUAUUUAAUUUCUCUUGCAUGUCAUCUAUUUAAAUAUUUUUUACUACCUAAACUUUACUUGACUUUAGUAAAUUUAUUUUGAAAAUUAUUGAAAAUUAAAAUUCUUCUAAAGAUUCUUUUAUAUAUGCAGAAAUAUUGACGUUGUCGUCACGACCACAGACACUUGAAGCUGGAGUGUGUGCCCUCGAGUUGCCGAUUCUGCUGGCUGCUCGAAGAACUAGCUAUCUUAAAUUAAAUUAUCUUCUUCGCUUAAUUAAUUCUCUAUUCUCAAUGAAGCAUUUGAAAGAAACAGAAGAAAUAAUCCAUCAUAUGUACAUGUAUAUAUAUAGAGUGAGGCUACUAUGCUAUCGGAAGCAGGAGCCUUCCAUGCUUCCAGCUCGUUUGGAUGUUGCGACUUUCGAAUCGUCGAUCGGCUCCGUUAACUUGAUCUAGAGUAUUUGAAGUACCUAGAAAAUAAAUUUUAUGAUUUUAUGAUAUCAUUUGCCUAGUGAACGAAGGGGCUCAAUCAACGACUGAAAUAAAAAUCUUACAAAUGUAAUAAUAUGACAUUAAUAUUUUAAAUCAAAGAUAUUGAUCUUGUUUAUAUAGUAUAAAGAUUUUCUAUUAAAAUUUCACGUGAUUUGAAUAUUUCUACACCGUUAAACUUGCAAACGGCACACUACGGCCAUUGAAUUUGUUGAUUUUGAACCUAUUCGAUACUAGGUAAAUGAUAUCGAAAAUAAAUAAAAUUUAUUUUCUAGGUACUCAAAUACUCUAGAUCAAGUUUAACGGAGCCGAUCGACGGUUCGAAAGUCGCAACAUCGAAAACGAGCUGGAAGCAUGGAAGGCUCCGUGCUUCCGAUAGCAUAGUAGCCUCACUCAUAUAUAUAUAUAUAUAUAUAUAUAUAUAUAUAUAUAUAUAUAUAUAUAUAUAUAUAUUUGUAGUGUACAGCUGGAACGUUUCUUUCGUGAUAUCAUUUUUCCCUUUUCUUGUCGGUAAAGAGUUACAAUUUUAAACGACGCUAUAUACUUUGGUAACUUUAACUUUUUUACAGGGAGUGCGUCUAUUCAUCGUGAUUGAUCUGCAUUAAUUUCAUGUAAACUCCCUCCGCUAGCUUCAUAACCUGAGAAGCCAAUUGAACCAAGUCAGAUUGAGAAUAUUAUAUAAGAAUCUGAUCAUCAAUGCACGGCUUAAGUUUGAAGGAAAAAAAGAUGUUUCUAAUUUCAUGACAAGUGAUCAAUUAAGAAGGAAGCAUGGAUAUAUAUGUUACUGUCGAUAUUCUAUGUUGAUCUUGGUGUUGGGUAUCUUGGAGAGUGCACUGAAAGCCUCGUCGGACAAGACGAGAGUCGAGGUGCAUGAAUUCGUCCUGCAGAGGUCGACGACUUCGACUACGAUCGAACCGUCCUUGCACGGCCGCCUGAGGCCACUCAGGCAACGGAGCUGAUACUUUCUCCCACACGCUGCGCCGUUGUCCCAUAUCCCGUGACCUGCAGCCACGAAUAGGCCGCUUCCCGGCAGUUGAUCCUGGUCGUAUCCCGGGCAUCUUGUUGCUGCACAAAGGAAUCACACAAACACGUCCGAGCCUUUUAAACAAACUACGUUUCGAGCCAUAGAUGAUCAUUAUUACUCAAAUUACAUCAUCUCAACAUGUAGUGCUUUGAAGUUUGUAUUUCCUGGAUGUUCUUUUUGUUGAUGGGGGACAACUAUAUACUGAAUUUCGGAUUAUCUUUGUUCCUCUUUUACGUCGAAAUUGUGUAGGCCAUUUGGCAUCACCUCUCUUUUGAGUUUAUGAAUCAGUUUCGCCGUAUUAGGCAGGCAUUACCCUACACACACACACACACACACACACACACACACACUUUCAAAAACCUAGAGAAUCAGUUCCUUAGUAGCCAACAUCAAAGAUUCAGAAAAAAUUGAUAGGAGGUGAAAAACAAUAAAGAAGAAAAGAAACGACUUACGAAGAUACGGAGGGUCGUAUGAAGUAGCAGUUCCUACAUCCGCGACGACUCUGCCUACACAAAUGGUCUUGUAGAAUAGAGUAACAAGUGUUGCUGCUAGUGUUAGUAGACUUCUUUCCAUCUGCUCAACUAUAGGUGCUCAUGCUUUCCUUAGAGUGCGUAGACUCUAAUUUAUACUCCGAACAUCGUUGGCAUCCCCUCCCGAGUGCACGCCGAAUGGCGGCGCCCGUCAUAAUCUUUAAUCUUCAAUCUUCAAUAAUUAAUCAAGAUAUGUAUGACCGACCAUUUAUAUGUGCGGUCAAGCACAUUUCUCAACCACCCAUAUCAACUCCAGAUAAAUAUUUCUCUCUCUCUCCCUCAGCGUUUCUCAUUCCCAGAUACUGAAAUCCUCUGUUUCUUGUAGCUGAAAAUAUAUAUAUAAAAAAAAAAUCACUUUCGCAAAAGCGGCUUUUCAAUUCCUUUUAUUAUUAUCUAGUGAUCAAGCUCCUUCAUCAGGCGCUGCUCUUAGCAGUAGCAGAGAAUUUCAUACGCACACGGCUCUACGGAGCUCCCACUAGGCCUGCUAAUGCAGGGGAGAUCGAGCACUUUUAAAUUUGGUCACCAAAAAAUGAGGGUACGUAAAGAUGUACGUGCGUAUGAUCCCAAACACUAUUCCAUGUAUUAUGCCCGUGAAAUAAUUACCUUUUGUUCUUCGAACUUUCACUCAUGCUGCAAUUUCAUCCCGAUCAUAAACAAAUCUCAGUUUUUUUCUAUAAAACGACAGAUUCAGUCUAUCGCUAUAAAAUGAUUUGCUUGCUUGUUUCAGUUGCCUUUGAAAUAAGAGUUUGAAGAAUCAUUCUGUACGAAAAUGUUAGUGUGUUAUUAGAAAUUUUCUAGCUGUAAUGAUGUGCGUAUUUAAGUGCAGUUUAUAAAUUAAACUGCUUUAUUGAGAUAGAACAAUGAGUAUCUAACAUUCUAUCGUAAAAGGAAUAAGCUGGCUUUGUCAUCGAAUGCAGAAGCUUACAUAAGACUCCUACUAACGACACAAAAAGCUUCACAUUGGAUUUUAUGUGGAUGAGUCCCAUGGGUUUAGUAUACAGUGUGAUCCACUAAUUAAGGAAUUUUUUUUGGACACUUCUCUAUCUUUCUUUUAAUUGGACUCAUGAUCUAGUUUUUCUUAUUUGGAUCCAACGUAGAGCGCACCAAAUCUUUUGCGAAUCUCCUCCAACCGGAAUAUCAGAUACACGGGUGAACAAAGUUUUUAAUAUUAAUUCCCAAGCUCUUUAAUUUCUUGUUCUUCGCACUGAUCUUAAGAUGUUAUGCUAAUUGCACGAUAUUUAGUUGUGAAUAUAUAUACGCAAUUAUAUAACACCGUAAGAUGUCUAAACAAAUAUAUAUUCCUGGCCAUCUCGUUGGCCUAUUUUAAUUAAAAGGUUAAUUGUUUAUGCUAGUAUAUCUGCCGGCGCAUGACAAAUUACAAGCACAGUUAGAUUCAAGUUCAUAGUUGACUAGUCAGUGGAACAAAUCAUGAUUUUUUUGAAAGAGCUAUAUAAAAGAGAUUAGUUUCGACGGACAGUACAAACACCAUUAAAAUAUUGUAGAAAUAGUAUGCAUAUUCAUACAUAUCACACCACUAAAACAUUAAUUGUCCACUAAAAAUAUUUACAUUUGUCCUUAGGAUAUAUAGCCCCCGCUCAUUAUUUCGUACAUAUGCAGUAAUGAUUUUAGCUCUGCCGUACAAUAUUAUAUAUUUCCUCAUGUGCUGGUGUGCACUUUAUUCCUUUGCUCGAUCUUAAUUAAACAACUUCAUCGGAAUAUUAUUUAUCCGGCAACGCAGAGUACGGGACUAGCUCUUAAUUGCAGUACUUAUAUUGCACAUCAGUCCAGGGGGAAAUUAAAUAUUUCCUCUGCUGCUAUUGCCCAGAUAUCAUUUGCACGUAUAAUUUUGUCGUAAUUAAAUUCCUUUGCUGAUGCACCAUGUAUACGUACUUAUUAAUAAAAUGGCUUGGCCCGUUCAAAUCCUGCACAAAUAUGAGCAAGAGAUUAAUUAGGAACUAUGCCACGGAAAAGAAAUUAAAAGAGACAUGUUUUUGUUGCCCUUUAAUUAACGCGCGGGUAAAAAAGAGUUGAGAAUGAUGAUUAUUUGGUAAGAGUUGUGCACGUACUGGAUGUAUUCGACGUUGAUCUUUCCGCUGGUGGAUUGCGAGAUUGCGUCGAAGGCAUCUCCGGAGAGGAGGAGGUUAGCAGGGCAUGGAUUUUGAGAGCAUUUAUCCACCACCUCCACCACUAUACUAACUCCUUCCUUACACGGCCUGUUGCUGCCGCUCAGGCACCGCACCAUGUAUUUCCUCCCGCACGCUGCCCCAUUGUUCCAAAGCCCGUCGCACACAGCCGCAAACAUGUUGUUUGGGGGAAACUGGUCUUCCCUAUUCCCGUUGCAUUUCGUAGCUGAACCCCGACGGAAAAUAAAUGAGUAAAUGAAAUAUAUAACCAAAAAGUUGGAAAAAAAUAAAGAAGAUAAAUUAAAACACAUUAAUUAUAAUUAGAAAUUCAGCCUAAGAAAACUUUGAGAGAGAUAUAUUUAUUUAUACAUCUAACAAAAUGCACCACAUGCAUUAAAUACUUACGAGUGUACGGUGGGCCAUAGGAGGUUGCGGUCGCGACAUCUGCGGAGACUAGGACUCUUCCUUCGAACCACUGUAAGCUUAGUAAAGCUAGCAUGAUUGCGAAAAGCCUCAUGGUUAGAGUACUCCUCAAGCGAGAGAGUGAAUCAAUCGAUCCUAUGCUUCGAUUCCUAUAUAUAUAUAUAUAUAUAUAUAUAUAUAUGUAUAUAUAUGUGCUUAUUGUUUGAAGGCUAGCUAGCUAGUAGUGCUAAUUUAUAGAUAAUUUAGUAAGUUAUAUAUAUAUAUAUACCGUGCCCUUAUAUUUAUGUAGCUAGUCUCUCUCACGCCUAAAGUUUGCACUAAGUUUUACUCAUCAAAUAGAUUGCUUAUGAGUAUACUCCUUUUCUCUUUGUAUAAGUACUCGAGCAACCUUAUCCCAUGCACAAUCCAACCGCAUAUAUCUUUGGAUUAUCUCGGGCUUUCACGAAAACAUUUUGCGUGCAAGAUAUAUAAUGGCUAGCUUUUCGAUCGUUUAUCACGUGGACUCGCGAAUAGUGAGGAAUUAAUUAGCCGCCUCCAUGACGAAGCUAGGAACUAAAACUAGUGCAGGUGUUGUAGUGCGUGCCAUAGAUGUUCUCAUCAUGCAUGCUUAGCAUUCGUGCUCAUCCAGCUUUACACAGCAGUAACGUAAUCGUGCCCUUUCUUUUGCUCCUAAGCGCAUGCUUAGAUUAUUUUUUUGGAUAAUAUAAUAUCAUAAUAAGCCUCGCGGUGCCAAGAGGUGUUACAACGUGGGUUCAAUUUCAUUGUCUUUAUAUCAUCUUAUCUUAUGAAUUUCUCUAUAUUAUUCUUAAUAUGAUUUUUCUCCUGUUGGUACGUGUAGUGCAUAGACGAAUAGUUUAAUAGAAAAUUUACGAUAAGCUUCAAUUCACCCUAUUAUGAUUUAACGCAUUUUAAUUUUGCCACUUGAUUUAUAGUUUUAAAGUUGCACUUAACUAUAUAUUUAUAUAGUUGUUUUAUUUUUAUUUUACUAGCCAGAAGAGCUCAUCAUUAGCCAAAAUAGUAAAGUGAUACAUAUUUUUGUAAAUUAUUUGGUUGCACAAUAUGGCAUUCUAUCUUCUUAUAAUUUUGUACUUUAUUACUAUAUAUAUGGUUUUAUAACAAUAUCAAGAAUAUAGUACUCUUGUAUAAAAUAAAAGAAAAAAUAUAAAAUAAUUAAGUACAAUUUUUCGAAUAACACGAUCAUGAAAUAAGAAUGCUUUAAACUGUAGGAGAGAUCGAGAAUCAUCUUAAUUUUUUUUUUUGUUUUGAAAAAUGAUGAUUCCUUACUUAUCUCUUUGGAUUGCGUUUUAGUGGCCAUGAUGACGAUAAUGGUGGUGUUAAUUAUAUUCUCUAAGCGACCGACUAACAAGCAAUUAAUUGCCAUGUGCCCUGCAUUAACUACUUGGAGCAUAUAUAUUCCGGGCAAUAAAUUAACAAGUUGUCAGGAAGUUAGAAUAUAUUCAUCUAAUUUCCAAAUGAUACGUGUGGAUCAAUUCGAGAAAACUACUAAUGAAGGUAUGUUUUGCUUUAAUUAUUAGCUUUAUUUAUCAUGGAUUGUAUGGCUAUCAACUCGUUAGCAACUUUUUUUUAAAAAAAAGAAAAAUCCAUUUAGAAAGAUGUCGAUCCAUCAGGCGUUACAAAUGUGAUUAAUUAAAGCAGACCUGGACUAAUGUUUUCUGUUGACUAAAUAAAGUCCUUCAUAACGAUUAAUUCGCUUUAGAAUAGGAGGAGAAGUUUCUCAACUCCAUGUUCUGAUUAAAGUUUUGCUCAAUAACGCUGUUAGGAGAAGCGUUAUAUUAAAGUAUUUAUUUAAUCCCAAACCAACCUCUGCUUGCGAGGAGAUCAUUUACAUCAAAAUAGAAAUUCUUGCUUUUCUUUUUAGCUACAGUUUUUUUUUUUUUUUUUUUUUUUCUCUUCCUUGGAGUGUGCCGAUCGUUAUUGCUAAACUAACGGAUAUUUGAAAAUAGGAGUAGAUCUUGUGUGCUCUUAGGAGCACGGAGGCCUCCGUGCUCCUAAGUCGUUUCAACGAUGGAGCUUCCGAAUCGGCGAUCGGCUCCGUUAAAUUUGAUCUAGCGUAUUUGAACUAUCUAGAAAAUAUUUUUUUUGAUUUUUCGGUAUCAUUUUCCUAGCGAUCGAAAGGGUUCAAAAUCAAUAAUUUUUAAUGGUUGAUGUAUACCGUUUGCAAGUUUAACGGUGUAGAAGUAUUCAAAUCAGAUAAAAUUUUGAUAGAAAAUUCUUUAUACUAUUUACAGUAAGAUCAAUAUGUUUGAUCGAAAAUUUUAACGCUAUGUCAUAACUUUUUUUUGAGAUUUUUAUUUUCAACCGUUGAUUUUGAACCCUUUAGAUCAUUAGGUAAAUAAUAUCGAAAAGUCACAAAGUUUAUUUUUAGAUACUUCAAAUACGUUAGAUCAAGUCUAACGGAGCCGAUCGUCGAUUCAAAAGCUCCAUCAUCGAAAACGGCUUAGGAGCACGGAAGCCUCCGUGCUCCUAAUAGCUACUCUUGAAAAUAGUAUCGAUCUGAAUAUUUGUGUAUGUAUAGUUUUACAAUUUAGAGCAAGGGUAGGGUAGGGAGAUCAUUGGGCUGACUUUGGAUGUUAGAUCCGCCCGCUUUUAUUGCUCCUUGUGCAGGCCUAACCCGUAACAGAAUGGGCCUAACCCGCUUUUAUUUGUGUAUGUUAUUUUGCUAAGCCCCUGAGUGGGCCUGCUGCUGCGUUACCUUUUAGGCUUUCUUUGGCAGUACAAUGAUUUAUGGGGUUUUUUUGCAUUUAGCCCCCUAGUAAAUUUUUAUUUUAAAAAUAGCCCUAUCAAAAUUUAAUUUGCAAAAAUGGCCCUGCACCUGCCACGCAGGCGCCACGUCAGCGCCACGCGGGCUGGGCAUGGGCCAGUGUAUUAAGUUAAACACGGUGAACCAUUCACCGUGUUCAAACACGGUGAAUGGUUCACCGUGUUUAGUACGUAUUUUUUUCUAGAAGAAUAGGGAGUUAGGGAUGUUAAUGGGGUAUGGAUAUCCAAAAUAUUAUUCGAACCUAAACCCGAAUAAAUUAUAUAUAUACAUAACUUAUUUUUAUUUAUUUAUACAAUAUAUAAAAUAUCUAAUAAUUUUUAUUUCUUAGAUCUUCAUCAAUCCAAUGGUAUAGAUUUUUAAAAUUAUUAGAUAUUUUAUACCGUUGGAUUGGAUGAAGAUCUAAGAAAUAAAAAUUAUUGGAUAUUUUAUAUAUUGUAUAAAUAUAUAAAAAUAAAUUAUGUAUAUAAAAUAAUUUAUUCGGGUUUAGGUUCGAAUAAUAUUUUGAAUAUCCAUACCCCAUUAACAUCCCUAACUUCCUAUUCCUCUACAAAAAAAUAAGUAUUAAACACGGUGAAUCAUUCACCGUGUCUAAACACGGUGAAUGAUUCACCGUGUUUAACUUAACUACCGCCCCCAGCCCCGCCCGCGUGGCGCUGACGUGGCGCUUGCGUGGCAGGAGUAGGGCCAUUUUUGCAAAUUAAAUUUUGCUAGGGCUACUUUUAAAAUAAAAAUUCUUCAGGGGGCUAAAUGCAAAAAAAGCCCAUGAUUUAUACUACAAAACAAGAACAAAUAUAUUAAACAAAUCAAAAGUAUUUAUAAUCUUUCAUCCUCAAAUAUUUUAAAAUUGUAAUUAAAAGCGUGAUUUCUGCGGCAGCCGUUGCAAACAUAGUUUUAUAAUACAAAAGAAAAAAAAAUCAACACGCUUUAAAAUUUUUAGCCUUUUUAUAUUACUAAAAUAAUAUUUUUAGCCAAUGUAUCACCAAACUAGACCUUUGGAAAGUGUCUAGCAGUGAAGAAAAAUUAAACCUUCUAUUUUAUCGAGGAGAAGAAAUUAAAAUGAGAUUUUAAGUAUGAAAAGCAGAAGGUUAAUUAAUUAAUUUAUUUAUUUUUACCUUGCCUCUAACCGAAACUAAUGUUGAGAAUAUCAUUAAUCUCUUUUGUUUUUGUUUUUUUUUCUCCCCUUAAUACGGCUACACAAUUUGCAUGAUAUCAUUUUCUCGAAGUAGUAUUAUAUCAAAACCAUAGCGCAGUAAAAGUGGUGUAGGUCCCAAUUAAAGGUCCCACUUAUCUCUUUCGGGUGAUUAGAGAUUGGAGGGAGCGAAUGGACCCUCACAUCAAAAUACUCUCAUACCACGUAGGCACGUACAUACAUAGGAUCGUGCCAUGCAUACUCCGUCUUAUCCAGUUAAUAUAUGUAUGUGGUCACAGCUUUAUAUAUGAGAGCAUGUUGUCUACAAUGUAGAGAAAGCACUUGUGGCAUAAGUCCCUCUCUCACUUUAUAUACAUAGCUGGGUAAUAGAUUCCAUCUCCACUGAGAAGAGUUUUUUCGUCCACUACAUUAUAUUGUAUUGCAUCUCAAACAACAUGAACAACAUGAUGUUAUCUUUGAUGCUAUAUGCCAACACCGGUUGUUUGCGUGUGUGUGUGUGUGUGUGUGUGUGUGUGUGUGUGUGUGUGUGUGUGUGUGUGUGUGUGUGUGUGUGUGUGUGUGUGUGUGUGUGUGUGUGUGUGUGUGUGUGUGUGUGUGUGUGUGUGUGUGUGUGUGUGUGUGUGUGUGUGUGUGUGUGUGUGUGUGUGUGUGUGUGUGUGUGUGUGUGUGUGUGUGUGUGUGUGUGUGUGUGUGUGUGUGUGUGUGUGUGUGUGUGUGUGUGUGUGUGUGUGUGUGUGUGUGUGUGUGUGUGUGUGUGUGUGUGUGUGUGUGUGUGUGUGUGUGUGUGUGUGUGUGUGUGUGUGUGUGUGUGUGUGUGUGUGUGUGUGUGUGUGUGUGUGUGUGUGUGUGUGUGUGUGUGUGUGUGUGUGUGUGUGUGUGUGUGUGUGUGUGUGUGUGUGUGUGUGUGUGUGUGUGUGUGUGUGUGUGUGUGUGUGUGUGUGUGUGUGUGUGUGUGUAUAUAUAUAUAUAUAGUUGUAUUCGAGCUUUUCAAAGUAAUUCUUAUAUUGCUCCAAACUUUUUCUUUUCAUGUUGGAAAAGUAUCUAUAUUCCUGAAGUUGCAACUUCAAACAAGCUCUCCAUCUAACUAAGACCCAAUCCAAUGGUCUUCGUGAAUCAUUGGCUCCGCGAGGCCAAAAAGAAACAAAUACAAAAUUAAAUUGACACACGAGGAAACAGAAAAUGCUCGGUCAAAAACUGUUCCUCAUCAUCUCGAAGUCCUUCAUGCGUACCGGUGGGUUGUAGCACAAUUAAAGCUGAGAUAUUAGAAAUUGCCAUUAAAAUUUUCUUUUUUUUGAGAAAUAGAUAGCAAGCUAUCUGCUUCAUUUAUUAAGUCAAAUGAACCGAGCAUACAGAUUGGAAGCAGCUUAGGUCUCCGAGGAGCCGGUAAAAGGAGAAGAUUAAAAUAAAAGCAAAAUAGAAGAAAAAGGAAGGUCAAAGUCACGACAGAAAGAGAAAUAGAGGGGGGGGUACGUACAAGGGGCUUCAGAGCAAUGUGGUCUAAUUGCUGAUCAGUAACAUUGGGCGGCUUUCCGUUGAAAACAUAGUUAUUUUUAUCCGUCCAGAUUACUCACCAAGUCGGAGCCAGAACGAUCAAGCGUUGUUUUCUCGACGAUUCAACAGGGAUUUCUGUACUUUCGGCCCAGAGGCCUCUAGCAUUAGCUACGCCGUCAUUGUUUGCGUCUACUCCUCCCAUUCUGAGAAGAAGAUACCGUACGUAAACACAAUCGUUGAAAAGGUGGUUGCAGCUUUCCAACAGGAUUGCGCAGAAAGCACAGUUCUGGUCUACAUGCAUGCCUCGGGUGAGCAAUCUGUUGGCAGUAGGUAGUCUCUUUCGAAGGAGCAGCCAGAUGAAGACUUUAAUUUUAACAGAAAUUUUUAGCUUCCAGAUGUGCUGAUUCGUCGGGGUGUCACUAUUCACCUUUUCUUUUUAUAUUUCAGCAUAAAUAAUAAUAUAAUAAAAUUAUAUUUUAAAUUUUUUUUUAAAAAAUAGAUAGCACGUUAUCCACUUUAUUUAUUUCGUUUAGAAAUAAAUUUAGCUGACAAUACGAAUCAAUUAGAAUUCGAAAUUUUAAGUUCGAAUUAAAGUGACAAAUGUGCGCAUUCCCCAAAACCGAAUAUGGCGUGGUGUGUGAAGUGUCGCCACCACCACCCACCAUCGUGCUUCGCUUCACCUAACCCCUGCUUGUACGAAUAGGGCCUAUACAUGUGACAUGUGCCGAUUGAAUAUAUUUAAUGACCUCUGGUGGAAUUAAUUAAAAGGUCAAACGCGGUGACUAAAUAUUAAUAAUAUUAAAUAUUAAUUAGGAAACAACGUAAUAGACUAAUUUAUGCCUAAUUUGAAAUGUAUUCAUUACCUUUAAUUACUCCAUAAUUUUUUUAAUUUCUAGCCUAAUUGAAUUUGAUAGCUAUAUUUGGCACUAGUUAUUAAUUAUUAAGAGAUUUCAAUUUUUAAAAAAUUAUGAGUAAAUUUACUGAAUUUAAAAAAGUAUUCGGCCGCUGAGAAGAACCUUUAUAUAUUUUUGUUUAAGAUGUCACCAUCAGAAAAUAAUAACAGUACGGAGGUUGGUUGGAUGGAUGGAUGGAUGGAUAUCGGUUAUUUGGACUUCUUAUCUUAAUUUACCAUCGUCCGUUUUACGAAGACAGCCUAAUAGAACGGCGUAAUGCGCACGAUUUUGGUCGCGAGGGGUUGGGGACGGUAAAAUCCGAAUGUUGCGAAUCCAACCAAAACAAAAAAAAAAAGAAAAAAGAAAGAAGAAAGAGGAGUCGCCUUUGGAUUAGAGAGGGAGCAUUUAUCGAGGGGGGCGAAGGCCCAAGGAAACGGAAGCAGGCGCAGAAGCAGAAGAAGUUCCCUCCCCUCUUCCCCCACCUCCUCUCCCUCUCUCUCUCGCUCUCUCCAUUUCUCUCUCCCCUCCAACUAAAAGAAGCCCGACGGAGAGAGAGAGAGAGAUUAGAGAGAAGAGGGACGAGAAAGAGGUGUGUUCUUCUUUCCUUUUUGGGGGGAUCUACUUGUUCGUUCGAUCCAUCGAUCCAUCGAUCGAUCGAUCGAUUUGCGCCUGCGCCGCCGACAAGUUCCAGGUGAUCCUUUCCAAACCCUAAUUUUUCUCCUUCCGUCUAUCGAUAUUCGAUACCCGCCGCCGCUCGAAUCUUUUUCGCAAUUAAUUUUUUGUUGCCGAGCAUUUGUUGCCUCGAUUGCUCGGAGAUUCCUCUUUUUUUUUGUUUCCGGCAUAGGAAUUGAAUUGCCCCUUUGAUUUCGCGACCUGCCUUCGAUUGCUUUCUUUUUUUCUUCUUUCCUAAUCCCUAUCGACAUCUCACAAUUCCUUUUUCUUUUUUUUUUUUCUUCUUAACCCGUAUUUUAUGCUAGAAAAUCUCACCUAUCCUGGAGAAAUCGGUUAAAAAUUCGAAAUUUUCCUAUUGCCAAUUUCCUAUCAGUAGAUUCCCUUGUUGCAAUCGAUCCCCAAGACAAAAUCCUUCAUUUUUGAGAAUUGCCUGUUCCCAUUUUCAAGUGUCGGCCCCAACUCUGUAGUUUGAUCGUCUGGAAUAUAGGAAUUUGGUGCCUAAAACUCCAGCUCGGAAUCUAUCCCCCUUUGCUAUUGCUAGUCCCGAGUGGAUGACGAGGAAGAGUAUGCAACCCGUUGAGAAGAAGAGCGACUGGUUCCUGCCCUUGCCGGAAUUAAACUUUCCUUGGAGCAUCCAAGAUGAUAAAAGCUCUCCAUGUCUUCUCCAAGAAGCUUUCUACCCUCCCGGCGGCUUAUUCGCGAGUGUUGGGCAGAUGGGAGUAGGCUUCGGCGUAUCGCCGAACACCCCUAACCCUAACUCUAACCCUAACCCUAACCCUAACCCUAACCCUAGAGAUAAUGGCAUUAAGAUCCCAUGCACUGAUCUCUACCUCAAGUACGUGUCGCCGGAAGUUGGAUAUCGAGUUGUUGGAACUCCGAGCGAGUCUCUAGCAGUCGAAGAUGAAACAGCUGAAGAAGCUACGAAGAGAAAGAUUGAGAAGAAGGGUGGGUUGAAGUUAAAGAUUAGGGUUGGGAAUCCUCAUUUUAGGAGGUUAAUUAGUGGCGGAAUUGCCGGGGCAGUGUCGAGGACUGCUGUUGCUCCCUUGGAGACGAUAAGAACACACUUAAUGGUCGGUAGCAAUGGGAACUCGACAACAGAAGUGUUUCAGAAUAUUAUGAAUACUGAGGGGUGGAAGGGUUUGUUUCGUGGUAAUUUUGUUAACGUCAUUCGAGUUGCACCGAGCAAGGCUAUUGAGGUAACUUAUUGUUGGCUAUCUGUUUCUGCAUUUAUGGGAUUACUUUGAUACAAAAUAUUGUUAGAUUGUUUGGCCAAUUCUAUAUCCCUUAUGUGUCGAACUGCCAUUGCAGAUGGUUUUGUUAGCUGUUGCUGUCCAUUAUUAUUUGUUUGGUUGCUAUUGUUUGACGUUGGUUUGGGUAAAUUUGUUAAAGUUUUUUUUGGCUGCAAGUUAUAUUGAUUUUUAUCUUUUUGACUGCUACAAUUGGAGCCAUUUUAUCUGAAAUUAGUUGUUUUUCUAUAGCACUUUUUUUUUUUUUUUUUUUUUUUUUUUUUUUGCAUAUUAGAGCCUAAGAUCCUUUAUUUGCAUAUUAUACGCUCCACUGUCCCAAUUCCCGAUUUUGAUCCUCUAAACUUCUUCCAAUUGAAAGACUUUUAGAGGAUUCGGUGCACAAUCUUGACUUGUAACUGAUCAGACAGAUCUUGUGUCUUGGCAAAUUAACUUUUCUGAUUGUGUAAACCCUUUCCUGCGAGAACAGCACCAGUUUUUAGGGAGUUGUUAUUCGCUUUUUUUCAUCUCAAAGGUCUUCGUAAGGUGGCAGGAUUACUUUAUGGUGACCUGAAUGUUGUGGAUCCAAAUGCAAAAAAGGCUCUCAACAAAUGGUGGAUCUCGCUGUAGUGGGAACCUUGUGCAUUUGUUUGCUCCCUAUUUGGAGAGCACCGUAAAUGCAGCUAGACUGUCUAGAUUAGGUUGGUCUGUGCUUGAAAUUGGUGAAUGAUGCCUUAAGAAACAAUUUUAUAGGGGAAAUGCAUGGUCACGAGCAUCUUGUCAUGGUCAAAAGCCGUCUUCUCUUGGAAUUUGCUUCAAGACUCCUAGAUAGUCACAUGGUGUGGAUCAAAGAUGGUGGAUGUACAUAAAAAUAUCUAGUGUAAUGCAGCUGAAAUUUCUGUUCCCUUUUUGUUUAAAAAUUUCUUUUGUCAGGACCAGAUUGAGAUGUGUGAUUCAAGAGCUGCUACAUGAAUCUAAACUCCAUGACUAUCUUUGUUUUUAUUUUGCUUAAACUUAUCAGUAACUAUAAAAAUGCAUUUUUCAAAUUGUACAGGCAUGGUAGUUGUCUGUAGUAGUUUAGUCUGCGCCCAUGUGAGGUUUUAUGGGGAUACUCUCUUUUGUUUCCAACUUCUUGAUGCAUAAAAUUUAGUAGCGUUCCGUAAUGUCUAGAAUCUUGUUGAUCGUCUUGCUCUUGAAGUUACAUAGAUUUUGUUAUUAUGAUAGUCAAAUUUGAAUGCAUCCUGCUACAGGUUAAAGUCCUCUAAAUGUGAUAGCUGCAAUAUCGAUAUUCAAUUUUAUGUCUUUCAGUUGUUUUCACUGUUGUUAUUCUGCAAAUACACUGUCGAGUAGCUAAGCAGAUUAUGUCUUGGUACUGUUCUGUGGCUUUUCUCACUGCACAAUUAUACAAAAUAUUGUUUAAGCUUGUCUCUAAAGGUUUCUAUUCUGGUCAAUUCUAGUUGCAGAUGGUGAAUGUGAAUGCAUUAUUUUGUUUACAAAAUGAAAGUUUAAUGUAUGACUCGUUAGUAAAAAAAGAUUCAUGUUGUGAAGCUGCAUUAAUACACAUCCCAUUUGUGAACUUUAAUCAUAUUUUGUUGUUAGUGUACUCCGCCAAUUAUGAAUAUAACUUUUUAUGUAACUCAGCAGGUUUCUGAACCCAACACUGUGUACCGGAUGAACAAUAUAGUUAAAAAAUUACACGUGCAACGCUAUAUACUCAUCUGUUCAUCUGCCUGUGUUUGUAGAGUAACAUAUUUGCAAUUAACUCCUUUUCUAGCCUGUGGAAUUGGUAAGAAAUAUCUUCUGUUGAUGCCUUUGUAAUCAUUUGCAUUAAAAUUUGGGAACGCUAACAUACAUUAUGCUUAUCGUAUCUUGAUUUCUUCUGCUCGCGCUAUUCUUUAUUUAUGUCUAUUGUGUACAUUACGUGCAUAAUUAACAAAGGAGUAUCAACCAGUGUGUUUGCAUUAUUUAUCUUCUAUCAGUAUUAUACUUGUGAUGGCUAAUAGUCUACUAUGUUGUCCAGCAAUCUUUAUGAUUGACUUUCAAUUUUUCCUUUUACAGCUAUUUGCUUAUGACACAGCUAAAAAGAUCUUAACUCCCAAGUCCGGGGAACCUCCUAAACUUCCUAUCCCUUCUUCCCUAGUUGCUGGAGCAUUUGCUGGAGUCAGCUCAACCCUGUGUACAUACCCUCUUGAAUUAAUCAAGACUCGACUUACCAUACAGGUCAGUAAUUCGUCGAGAAAAAUUGAAGGUUUCAUUAUAAAUCAGAAGAGGACGGAUGAUGCGUGCUCCUACCACCUAUCUUAAUCCAAUAUCUUACAUGCAGAGAGAUGUUUAUGAUAAUUUCCUUCAUGCCUUCGUUAAAAUCUUGCGUGAGGAAGGCCCAACAGAGCUCUACAGAGGCCUAACACCCAGUCUUAUUGGUGUGGUGCCCUACGCAGCGACCAACUACUUUGCGUAUGACACACUGAGGAAACUCUACAGGAAAACAUUCAAACAGGAGGAAAUAGGCAACAUUGCAACUCUUCUGAUUGGCUCGGCUGCCGGUGCUAUCUCGAGCAGUGCGACUUUCCCACUCGAGGUGGCGCGGAAACACAUGCAGGUGGGAGCGGUGGGCGGCCGACGGGUGUACAACAACAUGCUCCAUGCUCUUUUGAGUAUACUCGAGAACGAAGGGAUCGGCGGGCUCUACAGAGGGUUGGGGCCGAGCUGCAUGAAGUUGGUGCCUGCCGCGGGGAUCUCAUUCAUGUGUUAUGAGGCUUGCAAGAAGAUUUUGAUUGACGAAGAGGAUCAAUAAGUCCUGAUAAUUCAUUCAACAUGGGUGAUAGCUUAGGUUCCGAUAUUUAAAUGUUUGACUUGAUCUUAGUUUUGAUAAUUUACUUAAAUUUUAUUUUCUGGGUAUGUUAUAGGAGCUCAAGUUGCACCAAAUAUUUUGUUUGAGCUGAUUCUUUCUUUUCUUUUUUAAAUUUUGGUUGGAUCAUCUUAUUUGAUUAUGCUGUAACCUCUAUGGUGGGGUUCGGAUUUUGGACUAGUAGAGAAAUCUCUUGGAAGUAAAUUACUUCAUACUGAUAUGACGCGGUAGUCGUUCUUCAUGUCGUUUUCAUCUGUUCUGUUGUCUCAAACUAGAGCAAGUGUGUUUGUGGUGCUCUGGAGCAGUAGUGUUUUGGAAGCUUAUCUGUUGUAUGUGAGGUGGACUAUGUUGUAUAGCAAGCCAAGAGGACUCGAUGCUCUGGUCUAGCUCAUGAUCAUCAAAUUCUCAUGACCACCAAAUUCUGAAUAUUUCUCAGUUGUGAAGCUGAAUUAACAUUUUAAACUUUUUCUGAAUAUUUAUUUAGAGGACGGAUGAUGCGGGAAUUAUGAAAAAGUUUAAAAUGUUAACAAUUGCGCUCUAUCAUUCAUAUCUCUGAACUAUCAAAAUUGUGUUCCUAGAAUUCACCAAUUCCAUAAUAAUUUUUUUUUUCUUGAGAGGACCGAUGAGUUCAUUUUGCCAAUAGGUCGCGCUUAAAAUAAAAGAAACAGCAAAUUAAACCUAAUCUGUCAACGUCGUGUUUAAACACAUCAUUUUUAUAUUAAUCCAAAAGGCAGCAAAUUUGUUCUCAGCUUGUUAAACAAUCGGAGAAUUAUCAUAUUCCAACACUACUAGCACUGGAGAUGCAGCUUGAGUUUUUUUUUUUGAGGGACAAAAGAAGGAAAAGAUAACAUAAAACUUCAAGAUAACAUUAUCAUUCUCCACUACUAAAAAAAUAUAACUGAACACAUUGGUACAUCCACCCACAGAAAAAACUAACACAUACCUCAACUUAAAAAAAAAAAAAAAGAAGAAGAAGAAAAGACAAACUCACUAGUGAUAAAGUGCACUUAGUUCAUUAUCAUGUAUGCAGCUAAUGUCCUAACAAAGAAAAACCAACAAAUGACAGAAAAAAUAGCAAGAGCGAGAACAAGCUUUCACUAUUCAGCUCUGCUCCUCACCGUCACCCGCCUCCUUCUCUUCUGCUGCAGCAGCCAUCAAUUCAUCGAAGUUCUCUGUCUUCCCCAGCAAUAUCUCAAUCUAGGCAUGAAAUUACAUGUGAAGCGAAGAUGAAUAGACUUUCCUGGAAACAUAGAGAAGUAAAAGCAAGCCUCUUAUUCAUAAUGGAAAACAUAGCCAACCUUUGCUUUCUGAAUUGAUCUUCCCCUUGUUUCGUCCUUCACGUCAACUGUAGAAGUCGUGAUCUCUGCAAAAGAAUUGUUUAAACUAGAAUGUAACUAGUGAAAUCCCAACUUUAUACCCAUGGAACAUAUAUUGGAGCGUCCAUUGUAGGAGAUGAAAGUGAUAUAUGAAGCAAGAAUACUUACUCUUCUCGACAGCAAGGCCAUUGUUCUUCAGAAUCUCCGCGAUUGUCACGACAGUUGCGAUAGCUGAAAUAUCAAACACAAUUGUCUUUAGCAAUCUUAUAUAUCAGAAUUUUGCAAGGUAUUAUCAAAAGGAGAAAAGCAUUUGACAUUCCAAAUCAAUCAUGGUUGAGAAGUUAUAAGCACCUCUGAGAAAAUGAAAUCACAAAAUAAAAUAAGAAUAGAACAAUUAAACAAUGCAGUAAAGUGCAAGCAUCAGUUGUAUUGUCUGUAGAAGGAUACGUAUGCUAAAUGAUUGCUGGAAAUUCUAGCAGUCUGAUUGUAAUGCUGGAGAUUGCGGCAUAAGAGUAUGUAAUACACAAAACAGUGCGGAGCAAUGAAUUGCAAGAAAUCAGAUUGUAAUUCAAGAAAUUGUAGCAUCAUGGUAGGUAUACUGGAAUAACAAUCUUGUACAACUCUUUUCUUAAGAAGUUCACUCAACUGAGUUUGAUUAGAUAUAACGUGUCAGGAAUGCAGAAAAAAAUAGCCAGCAGGUAAUCCAAAAACAUCACAACACGGAAUAAUCACUACAAGUACCAUUGCAUAUUCUGUGUUAUUGAAAUUAAAUCACAAGCCCUACUUGCUAGAAAGCGGUAGGCUGAUAUUUCCAUGUUUAGAUUCUUUGAUGUUACUUUGCAACAUAGGUAAAAGCCUUACCACUAAGAAUAAAGCACCUCAAAUAAUAAGUAAUCCUAACAAGAUAAAAGGACACCAGAAAAAUAAAGAGAGAGGAACUGAUAUCACUUGCACCCACCUCUUGUUCCAAUUGCUUUCUUAGGCCAGGAUUAAAACCAAAUGCAAAGCAAGAAACAGCAAGAACAAUCUUAGCACUUAUUCAAAGAGCUAAAUUUCCGUAACACAACAUUGAGAGAAAUCCAACUUUUUGAUCAUAUUGUCAUACACCGAGUAGAAAUGAUCAAUAGUCAUUAUUGACGACCAAAGCAUAACAAUCAAUUUCACACUGAUGACCUAGACAGACCAAUAACUAGUUGAAUAUCCUAAAAGGAGAAAUAAUUACAUAGUCCUUCUAAUUUACAUCGAAAAGAAAAAAAAAAUGCUAGGCCAGCUUGAUAUGUAUUUUCCUGAGCCCAUAAUUGUUAACUCACCAACACACGAAUAACAAAGUGAUAACAAGGAUAGUAGUGAAGAUCACAUUUACUGAAAAAGUAAUGCAAGGUAUGGACCCUUUUGCUGCAUAUGAACAAGUAAUAUACAUAGAAUUCUCCAAUUAGGUGGACAAUGUUAAAAUAAUUGCAAAAUGCUUGCAUUCCAUGAAACAAUUGUUUUACUGUACAGUAAUGAGAUUGCAAUUAUCUAGCCUUAAAUGAUCUUGAAAGUAACAACUUUUAUGAGAAACACAAAAUACAAGUACUAAUCUCAUGCUAGUAAAAACCACAACAAUGCCGUGUUUCCCAUGAUCAGGAUAAGGCAAUCGGAGUACGACGGAUGCCAUAUUUCUCAUGAUCAGGAUAAGGCAAUCGGAGCAUGACGGAUUCCAGACAUAGUAUUUAUAAACAAAAACUUUCAUACAUUUGGUCUAUCUUCGCACAAGAGAUUGGAUAGCAAAAAUCGAGGAGGAAAAAAAAAGGAAUAGAAUUAAUAUGCUACAGAUAUCUAGAUCACAAGAUUACACCAAUAUCAGAACGGAGUACCUGCGCAAGGGAGCCACUCACAUAUACAAUAACAGAAAAAAACAGGGGGCUUUGAGAAAUAGUACCCAUUCCCAGAGCCGAAAGCUCGACUUCGUUAUGCUGCUGCAUAUAUCUCUGCGUCAAUUAAAAGAAAACAAAACAUUAUUAUUCGCAAUCAGAUUAAAAAACUACUUGCUUGAGUAACGACUAGGAAACUCUUCAUUGGCAUGUUUCAUCCAGUUCUACUCUGCAGCAGCAUAAAUAACAAAAAGCAAGCAAUAAAUCACAAUAUAAAGUAUAAACAGCCAAUAACCAAAAACAGAUCGAUGCCCUACCAAAACACACUGAGAAGCAUCAUAAACGAAUCAAAGUCGCAUACUGGGCAAUUAAAGGAGAGGAAUUGAUAAGCUUGUUUCACCUUGGCGAGGUUGACGUAAAAGAAGAGCGGCUUCUUAGUGUUGGAGACCUGGAUCCGAUUCUUCUUGUGCGGCUCCGUGAUGCUGAGGUUGUUCACUCCCUCAGUGACCUCCUCCAUGGCAGCAGAACACACGAGAGGAAACAAAAACCCUAACCCUAACCCUAACCUCCGGAGAGAGAAGAAAGAGGGCGAGAGAACAGACAAAGGGGAGGAGGAAAGAAAAGUAGGCCGCGGCCUGCGAAUAGUGGAACCAGUUUCGUUUCCCUGUUAAUCCCUUUUAUAGAUAUGUAUAUAUAUUGUUUGUUGGUUUAUACAUUGGUUUUCCGAUUGCGUCGCGCUUAUGAAGCCGCAAUUCGGGUCCAGUCGAGCCAAGUCUUGGUUGGCGACUACAGGGGGGAGGGCGAGUUCGGGCUCGACUUAAUUAUUCUAGUCCGAUUAGGGCUAGGACUAGGACGUGCAGAAUAUAUAUCUCGUGUACCAGGAAUUCCUGUAAUUCUGUCCACAUGUGGUUAUUUUAUCAUGAUCUGGAACGACAGACACGAGAAUAUGCGUAUAUUUUUUAAAAUUUUAGAUACAGAAAUAAAUAAUAAUAAUAAUAAUAAUCUUAAUUAACUUUUAUUUAAUUAUUGCUCUGGUAAAUCGGGAGCGGCCCUUGUUUCAAAUUUCAAAAACAAGAAAUUACAGCCUCACAUUCAAUUGGCUGAGCGAGUUUGUAAGUAAUUCCAGCUUCAUAAAUACCAGAUAAGAAAGAAAUUUAAACAUUUACAAUAAUUGAAGAAAAAAAACCUUACCCACUAAACAACAAGAGAUCUGACCCACGAUCUGAUUUUAGCACACAAUAAGUAGAUCUGAUCGAUUUCCCUUAGUUGUUGAGAUAAGAUAAAAUUUGAGACUCAAAAGAGUUGAUAACAGCAGCAUCUUCAACAACGUAAGCAGAACCGAUCAAGCAAACCCAAUCCAAAUCAAGGAGAUAACAAGAGCAAACUUGGAAAAAGAGAAAUGCUAUUUGUUCACCCAAUUCAUGGAUGCAAAAUCUUAUAUCCUCUCAUCCAAAUAUUUAAACUUUAAACAUCCUUUUAGGUCUUUAGCAUAAAAAUAUAGUGAUAAAAAAUAAUAAUAAUUAGCCCUUGCAUAAGAAGAAUGUAAUAAUUACACUGACUUUUGAAUGCCCAAGUAACAUUCCUCAUUUUCAAAACUAAGUAAACAAUACCGACUGUCCCUAGAGCAAGUAGUAAAGUACUUGGUAGUUGGUACCCGAGGUCCCAAGUUCGAAUCCUAAUUGAUUCACAUUUUCAGCUAAGUUCAUUUCUAAAUGAAAUAAACGAAACAGAUAGCGUGGUAUAUCUCAAAAAAAAAAAAAAAAAAAAAACCCAACUAAACAAACAAUGAAACAGCAAUAAUGAAACUGUGAAAGCAGUGAACAGGGUUUUUGAACAAUUGGCUUAUAGACUAAUGCAAAAUGCAUCGUAUUCUGCACCUUUCUACAAAACAUUUGCCUGCUACAAAAUAUUCACCCAACUGCCUAUGUUAAAAAUUGAGUUAAGAACAAGAAGUUUUUUACUGCAAUCCCCCAAAACAAAAGCCGACUAAGAAACCUGAUUUAUCUGCACCAUCAUAGUUAGCCAAUACUAUGGAAUAAAGCGAGUAACAAAAAAUUAAAAGAGAGGUUCGCCAUCACUAACUAAUGUAUAGUGUGUGUGGUAUAUUAUGCACUCCCCAUGGAUGGGAAGAAAAGGAAAGGAGAUUGGGCUAGUCCCAACCAGUCGGAGUGAUCGAUUCAUGGCCAAAUUCAUAAUUAGCCGAGGCAUGGGAAUUCUCACCUGCACUUGUACCUCCAUAUGUUUCAGCCUGAUAAUUACCUCCCCACGAUGAAGAAUCCCUUCUAUAAUCACGGCCCCCAAACCUCCCGCCACUGUUGGGCCGUCGGCUUCUGCUUCUACCAUAAGAUGACAUGUCAGCAAACUGGAGAAGCCAAUCUGGGACUUCUUGUUUGGCUUCUCGCAUAAGGUCAGCCAGAGCUUUGGCUAGGGGCUGGUUACUAUCAGUGAAAAAUGCAGUAGCCAAGCCGGACUUUCCAGCUCUCCCAGUUCUGCCGAUCCGGUGAACAUAAUUGUCUAUGUCUUUCGGGAGAUCAAAGUUAAUCACAUGAGCAACAUGUGGAAUAUCUAGACCACGUGCGGCAAUAUCAGUAGCUACCAUAAUAGGUGUAGCACCACUUUUGAAGGAUUUUAACGCAAGCUCUCGUUCCUUCAAUAUGAAGGCAUAGAUAAAAGAGUCAGAUGGAAAGAAAAGCACAAACCGGAUGACUAAUACUAUUUAAAAACCAAAAAACAGAACAUCUCAGAAGUAAUUUUUCCUUUUUGUUAGAAGCCCAUGGAUUAAAGGAUUCUUAACUGAUUAUUUUCCACAGUUCCCACAGGUUUCUAAUCAAAGAAUCUCCUUAUUUCUUCCCAAGAUUUGUGAAACUAGUAACCUUCUUUACAUAUUAUUUCAUUUUCUUUUCCCGAUCAAAUAGAGAGAGAAUAGGGCACAACUUCUACUUACUCUCUGUGUUUUAUCUCCAUGAAUAGAUGUUGCAGGUAAACCUUUUACUGAUAACCAAUGCUCCAAGAAAUCUGCCCCUCUUUUUGUUUCCACAAAAACCAAAGUUAAAGCUUGCUGUGAGGCAAGCAAGCAAGCUCUGUAAGAAUCACGAAUGGUGCAUUCAAACAUUAUCGAAGUAACAAGAAAACUGACUUAUGUUUUGUAGUAACAAACAAUAAACAAAACUGAAAUGGAUUAACGAACUCAUAACAAAUGUUCACCACAGAAUACCUUGUUAUCAACUCUUCUUGCUCUUUGUUCAUAGAGAAGAUCCCUUAGAUGGUUUCCUUUCUCCACAUCAGAAAUAUAGUCGACUCUUUGGCAAAUUAAGGCAGAGCUUGAUCCAACCCUCCCAACAGCCAAACAAACGUAGUUUGAAAGGAAGUCAGCAGCUAGCCGCUGCACAGUAACAGGUAGAAGAAAUAGAAAAAAGAAUUAGUGCUUUGUUAUCUAACACAAAGAGCUCAACGAGAUAUAGUAUGUAAGAAAGGAUACGCCAAAAUAAUGUUCAUAGAAAACUUAGUUAUUUACUACAAAGAUGAAGCAUCCAAACUUAAAUUCUCAUGGGACUAAUAGGCAGAGAAUGGAAAGCAUCAUACCUGCAUCUCCAAUGGAAAGGUUGCACUAAAAAGCAUCGUUUGUCUAACGGCAGGAGGAGGCAUACCCAUCCGCUCAACUAUUUUCCUUACUUGAGGCUCAAAACCCAUAUCCAGCAUUCUAUCUGCCUCAUCUAAUGCCAGAUAUUUGAUUGUCUGAAGAGAAACCCUAGCUCUCUCGAUCAAAUCCACUAGACGGCCGGGUGUUGCAACAAGAAUAUCCACACCUCUCUCCAGGUCUCCAAACUAAAUUUAAGGAACAUAUGUAUAUAUUAAAGUGCAGUAAUAAUAAUGAGAUGAUAAACCAUCUCAACUCAAAUCCAUCGAAGUUAACUAGUGCUCUGUGGAUUGGCGUUAAAAAAAAGAAACAAAGUACAGCAGUAAAGAAACAUAAGAAGAAAUGAGAAAACUAAACAUCAACUGACAAAUGAAGCAAGCUAAACUACAAAGUUCAGCUAGAAUCGGCUAACAUAAAUACCACAAAUGGAAGGUUGAUGGAGAUGAAAACAUUUUCUCUCUAGAAUUACCACACUCUAAUUAAGACCUAAUAAGAAAUAAUGGGCUUAAUGGGCUUUACUUUUUCUUUCUAGAAUUACCACACUCUAAUUAAGACCUAAUAAGAAAUAAUGAUCAACAAACAGUCUGAUAUAAAAUAAGUAGAACUACACGUGAAAUCAGCCUGUGUCAUACAGGGAAAAUAAUAAUAACAAUAAAGUAUGUACCAAAUUUCCUGUUGACACAACCAACUUGAGUGCUAGUUGUUCAUGCAUGAAGUCUUUACAAGAAUCAUAUCAGAAAAUUCCAAGGUGGGCCCACAGCGAAUGCAAAGCACAUUCUAUUACAAUAAAGUAAUAAAGCCAAGAGGUUGUAACACGCCUGCUGGUCAUUACAGGACAAAACAUUUAUUUAUAGGAGCCCUUUGACCCGGCAUAAGCUCCUGUCAAAAAAAGGGGUGCUGUUAAAUAGAGCUACUAACAAAACAGUAACAUAGUUCUUCCUCUACAUUCCUAUAUAGCUGGUUUCACUGCUAUCUUCCUCUACAACACAUAUAGCUAGCUACCUACCAUGCCAUUACAAUUCCCAUUCCCAUCCCUGUUUGCAAAGGCAAGUACCCAAUAAACAAAAGUACUAACCAACCUGCUGAUAAAAGGGAGCACCUCCAUAAACCACAGCAACCCUGACACCCGUUUGAUGAGAGAACUUGUUCGCUUCCUCAUAUAUCUGCGAGGCGUAAUAAUAAACAGUAUUAAUACCCAAGAUUCAACGAAUCCAAAUAUUCUGCAUUUUCUGUUGUGACGCAGGAUAGAUGUAUAGGACCUGGCAGGACAAUUCUCUUGUCGGAGACAGAAUAAGAGCGUUCGGAGACGCAAUUCGCCUGCCAUUUGCAGCUCUCUNGUAAAUGGUUAAGAACACUGAUCAUCGACUUGGUGGAUUUUUUUUUCUUUUUUUUUUUUUGUUUUUCUAAAAGAGCAAUGCUAUAUCUAAUUAAUUAACGAGCAAUUUUUGGGUUGUAGUAGCCUAGGCCCUAGCUCUUACAACAUGUUCACGCUGCAUGUGUUGCAGAUUUUAUCUGCGAAGGUGUACAACGUACUGCUGCUCGGAGUUCUGGUGGUGACGGCGAUAGCUUCGCCGGCGGCGCUGUUCACCCACCGCCCCCCGCGGCGCCACGUCGCCUACAAGCGGCGGAACCUGCAGCGCUCGAAGCCCGACGGCGAGCUCCGGAUGGUGGCGUGCGUGCACACGAACCGCAACGUGCCCUCCAUCAUCAGCCUCCUGGAGAUCUCCAACCCGACGAAGCGGUCGCCGAUCUUCGUCUACGCCCUCCACCUCAUCGAGCUCAGCGGCCGCGCCUCCGCCAUGCUCAUCGUCCACAACCCGAUCCAGACGAAGCCCGGCGGCCACCACCACCGCAGGGCCGGCGCCUCCUGUGGUGGCGGCGGCGGCGGCGGGCAAGUUUUGAGGAUCCCGCUGAUGAUCGGGAAGCAGAAGGCAGCGGUCUUCCCCGACCCAGUCUGCGCGCACGCCAUCAGGUCGCGCCCGGCCAAUGCGAUGGGAAUGGCGUGGCGCUGCACCGGCGUCGGCUUCGCGAACCCGCACCGUGCGAUGUUCCGGUUCACCGCCUCGCCGAGAUCGAUCUCGGCGAAGCUGCUCGCGGGCGGAGGCACGUCGGCGCCGCUGGCCUCCACGGGGAUGUCGUCGUACGCAUCGAAGUUGAUGCCGGCGGGGCCCUCGUCCUCCGCGAUCCGCAGAUCGGCGAGCCGAUCCGCGGUCUCGAAAGGGUUCGGGGAAUGAGGUUUCUUCGGCGUGCGGUGGUCGCGACGGGGCCGGUGGCGGUGGCGGCGGAGGCGAUCGGAGUCUCGGGAGGGAGAGAACUCGGCGGCUGGGGAGGAGGAGGAGGAGGACGACGACGACGGGGGCUUGCUACGGAGGUGCGGGGGCACGUACGUGGGGCGGGUGAGGCGAGCGAUGGGCGGAGCCGCCUCUUGAAGCGUCUCGUCGGACCACGACGCCGCCGACAUUACUCCUAAAACUCUAGAAUCCUAAAGCAAGCCUAGCGGUACAGGAAAAGAACCCUAACGUCACCAUACGAGCGCUCGAAAUGGCAGAGACGAACCCUAACGUAGCAACAACAGGAGGAGAAGAUGAGAUGUGAUACCUACACCAAUAAGCCUUGAACGAGGAAGAGCUAGCUGUGAACGAACCCUACGGGAGAGGAGAGGAAGGUAGCUGGUUGAUCAUGAGUCUCCCCACAUCAAGCUAGAGAGAGAGAGAGAGAGAGAGAGAGAGAGAGGGGGGGGGGGGGGGGGGGGGGAAGGGAGAGCGCUCGUGGAGCCCCAAAAACCCUACGCUACCAUUUCUAUUUCCAAGUAGGUGGUGGCCGGGUGUCGCCAUGGGGAAUAGGCAAGGACGGGAAGGGCAUUUUCGGAAAGAGGGCGCUUCCAUUUCCCGCGCGCCCGAGCGUGACGCGGCGAUGCGGGAUGGCAACAUGGGACUUUUUUCGAAACUAACCCUGUGAAAUUUCAUAUUUGCCAAACUAAUCCUGUGAAAAUUUUAUUUGUGAAACUAACCCUCCUCUCGCCACCUCAGCGGCCAGAUCAGCAUUUCUCAUAAAGACGGUGAUUCGUUCACCGUCUAUAAGUAUAGCUCUUGAAGACGGUAAAUGGUUAACCGUCUUAUUCAGACGGUAAAUCGUUAACCGUCUUCUCUAGGCGUAGCAUGCCGCCUUUUCAGCAAUUCCCCGCGCACCCUACCACAUUCUCAGCAAUUCCCCGCGUGGCACAAGGUGCCUGUAUAAGACGGUUAACUGUUUACCGUCUUCUAUAAGACGGUAAACAAUUUACCGUCUUAUCUCCCUAGCCAGCCUAAUUUGGCCAAGUCCUUGAGAGGGGGCCUAAAACACAGAUAAGACGGUGAAUGGGUUACCGUCUUCAUUAGACGGUUAACUAUUCACCGUCUUCAGAGUAAAUUGGCCAAGUUGUGGUUGGGCUAAAACACAGAUAAGACGGUUAAUAGUUUACCGUCUUAUCUAAAGACGGUGAAUAGUUCACCGUCGUAUCUGUGUAAAAGAACCCAGUCCAGGACUUAGC
This 62682-nucleotide long non-coding RNA is filed under the name Ananas comosus (pineapple). RNAcentral's name for it is "long non-coding RNA (ACOM_LNC008021)". The record is from RNAcentral. Lineage: Eukaryota; Viridiplantae; Streptophyta; Magnoliopsida; Poales; Bromeliaceae.